Molecule: long non-coding RNA, 55722 nt
Filed under: Brachypodium distachyon (stiff brome)
Lineage: Eukaryota; Viridiplantae; Streptophyta; Magnoliopsida; Poales; Poaceae
Description: long non-coding RNA (BDIS_LNC000334)
Rfam family: MIR1120/MIR1122 microRNA precursor family (bases 45953-46077)
Source: RNAcentral
GCACGUAUGAACGUUAUGUUCGAUACAACAUACACUCCUGAGUAUAUGAUAUUCAACUUUUGUUUUCCUUGCAUGCCCAUGCAGGCGGCUAAGGUCUCAGCAAGGAGAGACGCGAGGAUGGAACGGCAGGGGAUUUCGGUGCCGCCGCGGGGUGAGCUUGCGUCGGCCUCGAUCUCGUUCGGGGGUUCCUCCCACGGGAUACGGUUCUGAAUUCUGAUGUCAGUGUAAAAUGGGGAGCAGCACCGGCACGCACGUAGGGUUAGGAAUCAAAUCCGUCGACUUGGUAGAAACACAUUUUCUGAUGAAUUUUAGUAGAUCGGCAGUUGUCAUGUCUUCAGUUAACUAAAAAAAUUACUCCCUCCGUACAUAAAAAGUGUCGUCUAUUUUGUACUAAAUUAAUAUGAAUUUUGUAAAGUGAGCGGCACUUUUUAUGAAUCGGAGGGAGUACUCCAUACGAGGUACCAAAUUAGUAGAUUUGCAACACAAACCAAGGCCAUGUGAAGCGUUGGUCAACAAGCAUAGCUAACUAGUUCAAACACUGGUUCUAACUGUUGCACGUUUGCAGCAGCUAGUGCUAAGAAUUUUUUGUGGAACUGAUUCAACAACUUACUUGGGUUCUAACUUAUCUAAAAAUUAUUGUUACUUUGGUGGGGCCAGGGCUGAGAGGAAGGAGUGAGAUGGAAAAGGUUGGAUAAGGUCUUAGAAUCUAAUUUUAUAUUAUGGCCGAUGGGUCCCAUAAGUGAGUCUAGCAGCAAAAGCAUGUUGGAGGAGCUUUUCUUUCUUUAACGCCUCGAGGUAAUAACACCCGCACUACAAGAACUUGGGCCGCGAGCAAUUUGAUACAAGAACUUAAAAAAUGGGGCUCUUCAAAACUUGUAUGCGUAUUCACUUUUCGUCAGAUGCAUUCCGAAGCCGCCACGUGCCUUGCCAGCAUGGCCAAGGCGCGUCGCGUGGACUUGGUUUAUUGUAAAAAAAACGUUUUGUUUAAGUUGUUGCGAAAACCCCGCCACACAUUCUUCUCCUUCAUCUUCCCACAAUUCCCCUUCGGCCUAACCCUAAAUCGGCGACUCGGCGAGUGAGAGGGCGGCGGGCGGCGAGGGAGGAGGGCGACGACAUGGUCGACAUUGGUGAACCUAGGUCGAGCCUUCGGGCUGCUCAUGCUCACAGAGGCGGUGGCCUAACGGCCGCUGAACGUUCGCCCCCGCCAAGGAGUGGGUGACGGUGACUGUUCUUCAUCAUCUUGUCUUGCUCUGAAUCAAGCUUUGUGUCUGUCAAAAACUGUGAUGCAGCUGGAAGCCGUUGGAAGGGAUGAGACUGAAUCGCCAGGAAGAGAUCUGGCCUCCCCAUACAAGAAUCACACAUCAAUGAGCGUAUCAAACAAAAAAAAAAACAUCGCAUGCGAGUCCAGCCGAACCUCCUGCCUCGCUACAGGGAGCAAACGAAAAAACAAACAGAGAGAAACACACGCGGAAAGCGAACAACGCCAUACUUUCUGAAGUCCUGAAAUCACAGAAACGCAAAUAGGUCGCCCAUACGGGGGGCGAAAAGGAAAACUGCAAGAGAUCCCGACCUAGGGUUUUAUCCCAUAUAAGUAGUCCAGCCCCGUCUCCUCGCCGCGACCCCUCGCGCCGCCACCUCCCGUGCCCUCCCCACCUCCUCUGCUCUCUCGCGCUGUCGCGCACAGCGCAAAACCCUAACCUCCAAUCAUGGCGGCGGCGGAAGGAGGCGCCCCGGCGCUGACCCAGCAGCAGCAGGACAUCCAGAUGAUGCUCGCCGCGGACGUCCACCUCGGCACCAAGAACUGCGACUUCCAGAUGGAGCGCUACGUCUUCAAGCGCCGCACAGACGGUACCCAACGAAUCGCCUCAUAUCAUGAUGCACUUGUUAUUGCUCGUCUUAGAAAUCGUAGAUCAGGCCGCGUUACUGGUCUGACUAGGCGCACGAGUGUUGUUUUUUAAGUUGAACUCCCUGCACAUCUUGUGAUGUCCAAAUGCCUACUGUGCUGCAGCCUAGUGUUUACUUGUCAAUUAUAGGCGUGUUCAGACUGUCAAAUCAUGUGAACAAGCUGUGCAAAAUUGCUCCUUCGGUAGCUUUAGUUACUGGUCCGUGGAGUUGCAUUGACUAUUUCCUAGUGUAUCUAGAUGAUUGUUGUGUAAAUAGACGCCUUGUUUGAAUUACUGCAAGUAACAUCUUUGGUAGCAUGCUGAACUCAAUGACAUCAGUGUAUGCUUGCACAUAGGAGCUCUGUUAAUUCAGUUUCAGACCUUGUGUUCCAUAGCAGGUAGUGUCAUUUCGGAAAAUCAUUUAGGUCUAUUAAAGAGUAAAAAUCUGUGAAUUUAUUUUCAUUGCACAAGCUCGUCUCUGAUCUGAGAACUACAGUGGAUCACCAGAUUCCUGAUUGCUUAAAUUUUAAGGUGGUGUUGCUUUGUAUAUGUUUGCCUUGCUUGCAUGCUUCUGUUAGAACAUACGAAACACGAAUACAACAAAAAACCAGCAUACUCGUAUCGGAUACUGCAUGGAUACGGGGAUACGGCCCGACACGUAUUUUGGCCUAUUGGAUUAUUUUUUGAUUAAAAGAAAAGAAAAAAAUUCGGAUACGUGAAGGAUACCUCUCCGAUACCUGCUCGAUACGGGAAACCAACAAAAUCGCAACGAUCUAUCCUUCCCCAUCUUUUGCACGACCUACCCCUCCCUCUUGUAUUGUAUGAGUUCGCCGAGGUGCCACCGCCAGGCUCUCCUAGCACCAGGCAAUGUGGAAGGAGGAGCCUGUGCCUGCUGCCUGCAGCCCGUCUCCCACCGCUGCAUUCAUCCGCCGUUGACCUGUCGCUCGUUGUCUGCUACCAUAGCCGGGGCCUCUCCAGCAUCUGAGAGAUUGUGAGUCUUCUUUUCCCUAACCACCUCUUCUUUUCUCCCUUCUCAGUUGGAACGGUGGAUUGAUUUCUUCUCUUCUCCAGUUCUCCCUUUUCUGUUCAGGUCAGCCAUGGAAAGCAGAACUUCAGCUUCGAUUGGGAGAUCAAACACUGCAGGAACUGGGGCACGUUCUGUUCAUGGUGGAGCCAGCAAUGCAGACAAGUUUUCUUUUGAUGAAAAAUCUUACUUCCUGUAUUCGUAUUAUUUAUAAUUAUAAUGUAUAUGUACAAACGUCUACGUAUCCUCGUAUCUAUAUUUUCUAAAAAUUGACGUAUCGCGGUUCCCCAUAUCGUGUAUCGGAUACGUAUCGGUGUAUGUGCUUCCUACAGUAGAACUGAUCUGUAGUGUAGUAAAAAUUACUGCAUUUGUUCAAGUUUCUGAACAUGUAAAUAACUGUUUUUGUGUGUUUCUGGUUGCCUACCUGUUUAGAUAAAAAAAUAGAGGAGCUAUAUCUAGAAACAAAUUCGUGUUAGACUAAAACUGAUUUGUGAUGGUUUCUCUGUACUUGUAUGCAAAUAAACUGAACCUCACUACCUUGAAUUCAUUGAGCUAGAAGUGGUAGCCUGUAGUUUCUUUGUCAAGGGUGUACUGUAGCAUAUCUUCUGUUUCCAGUGCAGUGUAGCUAGAACCCAAAAGACCACCAACAGGUUUUACGGUUAGAUGCUUUGUUCCCAGAUUUGGUAGACUUAUUGGUUAAACAUUGUAUAAGCCAACUAGUGGGAAACCAGGUCAGGCUUUAGAAGUAAAGUUAACCAUGUUAAGCAAUUGAUUAGUUCCAGGAUCCAAAAGCUUAGAACCAUAAGGUGAGCUGUACCUCUUUAUAGAAUAAUGUUAGUACAACCAUUAGAUGGUUAGUAGAACACUUCUGCACAACUAUACUUAAUGUCCAGAAGCAGCAACCACUAGAGAUGAAUCCCAAUUGUCUAGUUAGCUAACAGUCAAAUAUCCAGAACCAGAAUUCCAAUCAAACUGGGUUAGAGAGGUCAGUUCAGUCACAGUUUGUUUCUAGUCAGAAAAACUUCUGUGUGAGGUGACUACAAUCCGAUGUGCUAACCAGAACAUCUUAACGGACCUCAGUAGAAUAUGUUUAUGUAACUGAGUUCUGGUGGCAACUUGUGAACAAUGAAUAUGAUCCUGUGAAUCGUUGCACAUGUGGGAAUUCAUGAGAUUGCCUUAGUCAAUUGCUAGCUGCUUUACGGUCAAUUUCACAAUUUCUUCCGUCAAUCAACAAUGUAAAAAACUUUAAAUGCAAUUGAGCAUGUCUUCCUUUCUGCAAAAAAUUUCAGGUAUUUACAUUAUCAACCUUGGCAAGACUUGGGAGAAGCUUGUGAUGGCUGCGAGGGUCAUUGUUGCGAUUGAGAACCCUCAGGAUAUCAUUGUGCAGUCUGCUAGGCCCUAUGGCCAGAGGGCUGUCCUCAAGUUUGCGCAGUACACUGGUGCUAAUGCCAUUGCUGGUAGGCACACACCUGGUACAUUCACCAACCAGAUGCAAACAUCAUUCAGUGAGCCACGCCUGCUUAUCUUGACUGAUCCCAGGACUGAUCAUCAGGUAUAAGCUUGUAUUUGUUUACAAGCUCUUGUUCAUUUACUCAAAUGAGGACCUUUGUUGAUUGUUUUGUUAAACUGUGUACAGCCCAUUAAGGAGGCCGCUCUUGGAAACAUUCCCACCAUUGCCUUCUGCGAUACUGACUCUCCUAUGCGUUAUGUUGAUAUUGGCAUUCCUGCCAACAAUAAGGGAAAGCAGAGCAUUGGUUGCCUAUUUUGGCUGCUUGCUAGGAUGGUUCUGCAGAUGCGUGGUACAAUUCUCCCAGGGCACAAGUGGGAUAUCAUGGUUAGUUUCAACAAUCCAAAGCAGUAUUGUGCUAAACAUUAUUUUUGUUAUGUUAUUAAUACAAUAUUUUAUUUUUCUAAUUACUGCUGCCUGCUGUUUCUCUUUUGUAGGUUGAUCUGUUCUUCUACAGGGACCCCGAGGAAGCAAAGGAGCUUGAAGAAGAAGAGGCUCUGGUAGCUCCUGACUAUGGUGCAGUGGCAGAAUAUGCUGCGCCCACAGCAGAUACCUGGGGUGGUGAAUGGCCAGGAGCUGCCGCUCCACCUGCUGCCGUUGUGGCCGAAGCUGGUGCUGACUGGACUGGUGCUGCAGGUUCGAUUUCUUUCAUUUCGUGCUAUUAGAUUACCAACGAACGGAAAAUCAACCUUCAGUCAUAUGCAUGAAGUUUAUCUUUGAUGUUUUUUUUUCUCAAGUGUCAAUGUUGUAUACUACCUUGUGGCUGGCCUAGGAAGGCUUGAGGCUGGGUUUAAGCUUGCGUUUGCAGCGAGUUAAGCUCCUAUCAUGUUUUUUGGUGCUAGCAUAAGGUUCGGCCCACAUUUUAAGUCAGGCUGCCUGCUGGCAUUAAUUUAGAACCUUGAUCUCAAUAUUUGGUCUAUGCCUAUAGUCCGAUAUAUGAAGCCAACUGUUAUGUUAUACCUUUACCCGGGAAAUGAUAACUCCUAUUCGAUAUUUCUAUUUCCCAUCCUGCAUCUGGUGAUUUAGAUGUAGAUGUCUGCUUGCAUGUUGUUUGAUAGCAACCUGAACAAAUUGGUAUUCUGAAUUGCAGCUCCUGCGGCUGAUGCUGGAUGGGAUGCAGUUGCUGCCCCCCCACCUGCCGCCCCUGGUUGGGAACAAGGCAGUGCGCCUGCACCUGCUACGGCUACCCCGAACUGGGAGUAGAAGAGUAAAGCACAUGGAUCAUGGGUGGAUGACUGAGUUAUUUGCCAGAAGAGUAAAAGCACAUGGAUCAUGAGUUAUUUGCCGUUUAAGAAUCCUUUUGGUAGACAUGCUUAAGUAGAUUUAAUUUUUACAGUAGGAAUUGUGUUAGAUGCAAAUCGAUUUUGUCUUGUUGACUAUGAGUUGCCCCCAACCUUAUGUUUCCUCGGACGGAUAACUUUAUGCCAAGUGAAUUUGCCAGCGACAUGUAUGUCCAGCAACAAGUUGGUAGUCGAUUUGUUCGCUAUUUUGUUACUUUCCUAGUACUUGAUCACACGAAAAAUCCAAGGUGUAUGCCAAGUGAAUUUGCCAGCGACAUGCAUACCAUGAUCGUUCUUUUUUUUUAGGGAAGGCCAUCAUGGGUAGGUUUAUUGCAAAUUAGACCAAAGUUACAUCAUCGAUGAGCAAAGGUAAAAUAAAACUAGGGAGGUUCUAGCUCAUGAGCUACUUUGCUAGAAUCUCGGACAAUUCUCGAUGAUCAUCUUCCCAAAGUCCUUCAGAAUCUCCAAACAGAUGUAAAUGGCUGCUGCCGGAGAUGAUGGCCAAUUACCACUUGUCAUCUCAUGUACGACCUCGCUGCAAUCAGGAUUUAUCAGUAGGUUGGAGCACCUAAACUCUGAGCAAAAUACCACGUUGGAGCGUCAAGGCCUCUGCCAUUGUGGCAUCGUACACAACCAGGAUUAUGCUGUUCAUUGCCCCUUCAAAAGCACCAUUUGCAUCUCGUACAACGGCUCCUGUCGCCCCUUCUUCCAAAUCCUCGAUAAAAGAAGCAUCAAUGUUAAGCUUCUGCAUUCCUUCUGGAGGUCGACGCCAACCAUGCCUGUCUGACCCUGUUGGCUUGGAAUAAGCCCGCACAUAAUUCAUAGCGAGGGCUUGAAUCGCCAUCGCAGAGCGAUGGGGAGUUUGAAUCGAUUCACGCUUGCUCAAUUGUCUUCUUUCCCACCAUAUGUACCAGCAAGCUAUAGCUGCCAGUUCUCCAUUAGUUAUAGGCCCCAUAUAGGUCUUGUGUGCAUUGUUACCUCCAAGCAGAUACCAUGAUCGUUCUUAAUGUAGAUCCUGUUGGGCCUUGGCCUUUGAUCCUAGCCUUGUCCUUAGCUGUAGUCCGAACUUUGUGCGUCCUUUUUGGUGUGUGUUUAUUCUGGCCCGGUGGUGAUUGUUGAGUUCGUGUCCGGCCCAUGUCAUUCCUACUCGGGCAUCUUUUGCUAGUAUUAGAUUGAGCCUAGGAAGCAUCAAAUGAUCAGAGUGCGCUACCAGCCUAACAUAGCUGGAAUUCAUCAAGCUCCUAGAUUUUCACGCACCGUUUGCGGUGGGUGGCUGAUGCAGUUUCUCAAAAUCUUUAAGAUUAGUUCAGCUUGUGUAAGUAUUGUAUUUUAGAAAUUUGCCGACGAAUACGUGGAGAAGCAUCAAGAUGCGAAGGGUGGAUCAAGAAAAGGGACUACAACGAAGCUUUUAGUUUUGUUGAAUAUAUUCGUUAUUUGUGUUUUUCGUCCGUGUAUCAUCUUUUGUACUUUGUCUCAUAAAUGAAUAAAACCACAUCGUUGCUCUCUCUCAAAAAUAAUAAUAAUUCAGUCUACAUAUGUCCCUAGCCAACAAUUCCCUCAUGUUUCAUCAUUAAUAUCAUUGUUUCUUGAACUGUUUCACUACAGAACUCAUAAUUAAGAUGAAAGUUGAACAUAAUAAAGGAAAGUCUCUUCCACAUGUGACCGCCGCGUCAGAUCUACGUCGACAAAACCUGCUCUUUAAGAGGCUUGGCCUCUCUCUUCCUAGACAAUCUCACCUUUCCUUUCUUGUCUCUCAAGAAAUAGGAAUUUGAUCACAUAGGAUCAAUUCUCUAAUUCAGUUUUUCCUUUCCUUUCCUAGAGGUGGCCGGGCAGGGAGUCCCGUAAGCAUUCCCAAUCCUUCUGUUUGGUCUCCCCACGUACGUGAGCUCCACCACGUGGUGGACAACUCCCACCGAAGGCUUCCCUUUCCCCUAAUGGGGCUAAGCCCAUAGGGGAUAAUUAAUUAGAUUUCUCUAAUUAAUUACUAUAGAGGCCCAAUUAAAUUCUCAGAAAUAAUCCGGAACAUUUCAAAACCUUCCGAGAACUUCCGGAACCUUCCAGAAUAUUCUCGGGCAAUACCGGAAAAUAUCCCGAACUUUUCCGAAACAGCUUUUUCAUAUAUAAUUCUUUAUCUCCGGACCAUUCCGAAGCUCCCCGUGAUGUCCUGGAUCCCAUCCUGGACUCCGAAUCAAUAUUCGAUAUCACCAUCUAUUAUCUCAUCGUACCCUAGCGACAUUAAGCGUUAAGUGUGUGACCCUACGGAUUCAAGAACAUGCGGACAUGACCGAGACACCUCUUUGAUCAAUAACCAAUAACGGGACCUGGAUGUCCAUAAUGGCUCCCACAUAUUCCACGAAGAUCUCAUCGGUUGAACCACUGUGUCGAGGAUUCAAUUAAUCCGGUAUCCAAUUCCCUUUUGUCUCGCGAUAUAUUAAUUGCCCGGGAUUUGAUCAUCGGUAUCACCAUACCUAGUUCAAUCUCGUUACCGGCAAGUUAUCUUUACUCGUACCGCAAUAUAAUAUCCCCGUGACUAAACACAUUAGUUACAUGCUUCCAAGCUCAUUAGGAUGUUAUAUUACCGAGAGGGCCCAGAGAUAUCUCUCCGUCACAUGGAGUGACAAAUCCCAGUCUUGAUCCAUACAACCCAACAAGCACCUUCCGAUAUACCUCAAGAACACCUUUAUGAUCACCCAGUUACGAGAUGACGGUUGAUGUCCACAAAGUAUUCUUCCGGUACUAGGGAGUAGCAUGAUCUCAUGGUCUAAAGAAAUGAUACUUGACAUAAUAAAAUCAUUAGCAAUUUAAACUUAAGUGACAUGAUCAAAAGUUAUGCUUAGGUUUGGGUCUGCACAUCACAUCAUUCUCCUAUGAUAUGACCUCGUUAUUAAAUGACAACACAUGUCUAUGGUUAAUAAACCUUAACCAUCUUUUAACCAACGAGCUAAUCUAGUACAGGCGUAUUAGGAACACGGUAUUUGUUUAUUUAUCCAUACAUGGAUUUAGUUUUCUGUUAAUACAAUUAUAGCAUGAAUAAUAAACAUUCAUCAAGAACAAGGAAAUUUGAAUAAUAACAAAUUUAUUAUUAACUCUAGGGCAUAUGUCCAACAGUGACAAGGGUUACAAAUCGAUGAGCAACUCAGUCGGCGAAUGGAUCAUACGCUUUGACGUUGAUCACGUCCUCAUCCUCCAACAUCAGGUUCUCUGGUUUCUGCUCUCUUGUAAUUUCUUUGCCUGAAAAAUAGAAUCUCGUCUCCCCGGACAUUUCAGCCGGCACCAUGCCGUUGUAAAAAUCCAUUAGGCGCUGCAUCCUGUCAGUUCUACCAAUGGAAAAGGUGAACCUGCGCCCAUGACGGUCCUCUAACACGGGAGUGACGAACACCCGCGGCCUAGUCACCAGGAAGAACUCGACCUCGGCGCCGUCUUCCAUCCCACGGUCCGCCGGCGUCUCUUCGCACUUGAUCCGCCGGCCGUGGUACAGGAAAACCCCGUACCCGUGCUCAACGACGGGCGCCAUGGCGCUGUAGUAGAAGUCCAUGAGCACGUCCAGCUUGUCCGUCCUUCGCAUGGUGCGGCUCAGCCGGCGCCCUUCCUCGUCCUUCACCACGGGGGUGACGAACUGCCCGCUGUUCGCCUUCGCCAUGUCCGGCCGGCCAGUCUACGCUGCGCGCUAUAGAGAUCAGCUCUGGUUGUGGUGGUGCUAGUGAUGGUGCUGUUGCUUUAGGUGGCGAUGCGCCGGGAGUAUAUAUAGUCGGCCGCAGCGACAGAGCCGUCCAGGGCCAUGACUGCAUGCAUUCUCGUUCUCUUUGAUUAUCUCCGGUAAUCUCGGUGGGCACAGAUAGUUCAAGGAGACUCCCCGGAUAACCGAGAAUCGACGGGGACCAUGAAUGCACGAGUCCAAUACUAACCAAUUGAUGCCAUUCUCAAGGUGAAGAUUAAUCCCUGACUCGAGGGAGUUCAUUCUAGUUAAUGUCUCUGUUUGUGUGAAGCUUGCGGUCAACGUGUUUUGAGAAGCAAAAGGGAUUCCCAAAGCAAAUGGAGCACUCAGUCGAAUACUAUUCUCAAGGUGCCGCCCUGACUCUCGAGGGACUUAAUUCCAACCAGUUAAGGUGCCCAUGCGUUGUUAUGGAUCGAAAACUUCAUCCAUAAAUCAUGAUAAAAAUAUCAUAAUUUCUGCGAACGUCUGGCAAUAAACACGUGAAUUGAAAAAUGCAAAUCGGUCAGUUCACCUGGUCCCUUUAAUCCUUUAAAAAUGGCAGUAGGGUGUCCUGCUUUGCUUUGCUGGUACAACAACAGGCAAUCUUAUUAUAUUUGUCCUUGUAAUAAGACAUCAUAUGUACGUACAAUGACGAUUUUAUUAUAUUUGCACCUCUGUGACACCCUUGUAAUUCACAGCUCCAUCACAAUAGAUGUUUUGUCUUCGUCUUUUCUGGCACCCACCGUGCGAAUAUCUAACCACCACCCUUUUAAAUUGCCUAGCAUCUUCUUCUACUCACCUUAUUAAGUUUUGGGAUCGAACUGAAUCGACAAACAACUUAGACAAGCAUUUUUUUAUUCUCCAGCUUACUUUGUAUCAGGAUAUCACUGUGCAUCUCGACAGUUAUCUAUCUCUCUUUCUCCAACCCCCACCAUGAAACAAGAAAACUUGUCAUCUUCCCUUCUCCUUUCAUGCACUCUGCUCACUAUAUUGCCUUCGUUUAGAUCUAGCAUUGUCUCGCUCCAAAUGUGCAUGACAUCCAUUCGGAUUGUCGGACUUACAACAACAGGCAAUCUUUAGCACUGUUUAUUUCAUCAUGAUCAGGAAUUGUCCAGUUCUGCCGAUGCGGCUAGCAUUCAGCAUGAAAAGCAAGACCAUAAAAUGUACUCCAUGUUAGAAGUUAAUCUCCGUACAGCGACAAGUAUUUAGGAAUAAAUUCCAGGAACCAUAAAAAUGAUCUCCGGGACAACACAUCUUAGUACUUGACAUAUACUAAAAACUGAAGAAACAUGGCAUACUGACCCAUACAUUAAUCCGAGCUUACAACAUAAAAAAAUACAGUAGCUAGGAGUCUGUAUACAUAGCCCAUAAAAAUAAAAUACAUCCAUCCUCUGUUGUUGCAAAAUCAGGUCAAUGUUUAAUACAUGGGAGAUAAAGGGAAUCUGCAAGUUAAUUUUUACAGCAUCUAUUUCUUGCAAGUAGGCCAUUCAUUGUAUCAUCACAUAAAUUCUGCCCUUUCUCGGUCAAGUACAAUGCUUUCCGUUUCCUUCUAUAAAAGCUUAAAGGAAAACAGCUUGCUAGCUAAUGACAAAAAUAUAGGGACUGACCUUCUUGAUUCAUUUUAAAUCGGCAACAACUAAGUUAGUGCCUUUUCAGGAUGAAGCUUGAAGACUUAGAUUAAGUACAGUCUGCGCACCAGGCAAGCUACUUGGUGAAGCCGACACGACUGUUUCGACCUUGCUGCUGUCGAUAAUAGGUGUGGAUACAUGGGUGUUCUGAAUGGCAUGUUUGCCCUUGCUACCAGCUGAAUCAAGUUCUUUGCCAUGUCAGCUGCUGGGAAGUCGCUGAACACAAGCACCUUUCCAGCAUAGAAGAUGGUGAGCUAAUUUUUCUCUUGGUCCCUGUAAUAAAUCCCAAACAUAUUAACAUUGGUACAGAUCACCGUCAACACAAGAAGACAUCCGUACAGAUCAACUUUUUCUAUCAACAAGGAUCCAGCUUAUGGUGCAUUAGCCUGUAAAGUCUGAGCAUCCAAGUGUUACAAUUUUGAGCAUGCAUGACUGAUCAUUUGUGAAGAUUUAGUUAUAACAAUCUCUCUGAAUUAGAUUUCAUGCUAAGACAAACUCCUCUUGCGACGUCUAGCUCUGAUUCAGAUGAACUAAACGCAGAUACAAAGGUUUUUGGACUUAACGUUUGGCCUUAACUUCUAUGGUUCUCACAAGAUUAGUAGGAGCCUAAGAGAAGAAAGAUAGGCUGAAAAUCAAGUAGAGCAAAGUGGGGCGUGGGCCAAUACCUAGCAAUAGAACCAGGGGCAGCCGCAUCCUGCAUGUUGCACAAGCCGGUGAUCCAACAAAAGGUUGUCGCCGAGGCGGCGGAUGCCACCGCCGCGUCCAUCGCGAGCCCGUGGUCGCUACGCAGCUUCAGGGUGGGAUGGCGCCGGCAGCCUGCGGCAGCGAGCUCCAUGGCGGUUGGAUCCGGCAGAGGAGGAUGCAGGGAUAGAGAGGGAGCGGAGGAUGGCGGCCGUGGUGGCCAUGCCGGUCGGGGCAAUGAACUCCGUGGCAGCUAUAUCCGGAAGAGGACGGGGAGCGAGCGUAGGCGGGUGCAGAUGGCGGCGGCGAAGGUAGUAGGCUUCCAUGGCCAUGGAGAUUGGAGUGCCUUAAGGGGAACCCUGGUGGAUGGUUGGGUCGCCGGAGCACGCGAGGAUAGAGGGCUGCGGCUGCUGAGAUGGGAAACGGCGGCAGUGGCGGAGGCGAGGAAGGGCGGCGGCGACGGAGAAGUGGCGACGGAGGCAGGGGAAUCCGAUCGGGAUCGGGACUGUCAGGCGCAUAAACCGGUUCUUUUGUUGUUCGGUUUUCUCAUCGCGGGACGCGGGAGCGCGCGCGACUGGUUUUCUUUACGCGGGUGAGGCGGACGACGUAGAUGGACUGAAGUAACUGUGUGAAUUAAGAAGCAGCAAAGAUUAGUGUCUCUGUUGUUCUGAAGCCUGGGUUUAACGUGUUUUGCGAGGCAAAGGGAUUCCCAAAGCAAAUGGAGCACUCUGGAUACCAUCAUGCAUGCAUGACAGCAUGAGUCAAAUUUUGGACUCAAGAUAAUACUCUCUCCGUCCAAUAAAAAUGUUUCAAGUUUGUCAAAAUUUGGAUGUACCUAAACAUGAUUUUGUGUAUAGAUGCAUUCAAAUUUAAUCAAAAUUAAGACAUCCUUUGUUAGACAAGACGAAUAGUUUUUUUAGCAAAUCUGUUAUUUUCAAUGUUUCGUCCCGGGGUCCCAAAUUUCGGGAGACCGUGUUAAGGUUUUAAAUUCGUGUCCCCUUUCGAUAGGAAAAACUAUCGUGUGCAUUUCCAAUCGACUGUACUUCGUUUUCACACUACACAGCUAUCAAAUUGCAAGUUUAAAUGGUCAUAGAAUGCACGGAUACAAUACACUACUCCACCACACACUUCAUAUGCCAUCGUCCUACGAUGCUUCAUCCUUGAUCAGUUGAUCUCAUACGACGGGCAAUGGUUUCGAUGGAAAUCUUUCAUUGGCCAUGUGCGUUCUCGUUUGGAUUCAAGGCAAGGAAAUCCACACGCACGAAAUCCCCAAGACCACCAAAGAUGAUUUUAGGGUUCACCAGGAUCACCUCCAAAAACAGUAAAAACCACAGGUAAAUACAAAAAAUCAUAGUAUUGUACUAAAAAACAAAAGGAAAUCACAAAUAUUCCAAAGGAUAAUAAAUUUAUGCCCGUCCAAUGACUCCAGAAACAAUGUUUUGUUGCCUCACAAUGAACAUUGAAAUACCCACUAUAGCAUUUCUGUCAUUUCCUAACAAUGAACAUGGUUCGCAACACCUCCAGAGAACUUGGUCUGCAUAAAACUUAACUCAAAAGAUGCUAAGCCAAUUGAUUUAACCGAUGCACUUUAUCCUUGGACAAUACUUCGACAUAAACCUCUUCUUUAUCCUUACCUGGAAAACAGAAGUGGAGGACGUUAAUUGGGCUAAAAAGGAAUAAAUAUGACUUACAAUUCAAUUCUUACAAUCUGAUAGUAAAAUAUAACAGGUCGGACAAGAGCUAUGUCACAAGUAUGUUUAGCUAAUUAUCUGGCUCAUCAGGACACUGUCUACGGUUUCGUUAAUGAAGCUGGGAUGACAAAAACCCGUUUGCUUCAGCUCAACUGAUGUCUAACAGCGUUCAAACUUGUACAAGCAUAAGUACGAGACAACAAAAUCUGCUAGUUAGGAAAGCACAGCAAGAAGUGAACUCUCAUAACCAUAGCGUGGCAUUUGUACUGACAGAAUCAAACGCUAGCUAAAUACCCUGAUAAAUUGCAAGAAAGUGCAAUAAGGCCCACCUUUAACAGAACAAAAUCUGAUUGACAAAUAAUUGAAUCUAAUGGAGUAGCUGACUGUAAUUGCCGAAUACUAAAUGCUUAAAAGACUGGCAUUUUGAUCCCAAGUUAACUGACAGAGGAGUUAAAAAAUGGUGCCGGUUUGAUCAUCAAGCAAACUUGAACAUACAUAUACACUUGGCUAUUUAAAUCUGGACCAUUCCACAAUUUGCAAUUGAAAACUUAUUGUGUACUACAAAUUUGGAGCUUCGUGUUAAGAAAAAUCAUUGUGCCGAUAAAUUAUCACAAGGACAAAAGAAAAUUGUUGGCUCCGCGCGCCGACCAAACCAAAACUUCAACUUCAGAGUAAGGCAUGCAUGAUAACUCAUGAAAAGAGAGAGCAUCUAAUCAUAUAUUUUACUACGCAGAUUAUUGUAAAGUCGUAUUAGGCUUGUAUAGAAGCAGAAAAAUGACAAAGCUACCCCCCACAGAAUGAACUCGUCAAUUCACAUAAAUUACAAAUGGUGAAAACCAAGACAUAUCAAUUCUACAAAGGCGGAUAUUGACUUCAUUUCACCUAAAGAGAUGACAUUAAUCAAAUGCUCAAGCUUUAAACAAAACAUGUGUAUGCAUCCUUGAAAGGCUUAAAAACCUGAAACAGCCCACCGCAGAACCUGUAGUUUGGUAGCAGAAACAUACCUCGUCUCUGGCUGCUGAGAAUUGAGAUGUCCCUCAAGAGGUACUGCUUCCCCUACUGCUUCCACGCUCCUCCUCAGCACAAUUUGUUACAGGCAAUCUGUGAGAAUCCAUAGAACUAGAGAGAGUGAGAGAUGAAACUAAUUCGUCCCUCGACCUGCAGGAAGUCAGAGGAGGACGAGAUGUUGCUGGAUUAAUGCAUAAGAUCAGCCGCUGGACGACAAGCGGACCGUAGAAAUCUAUUCUCAGGAAUAUUCAUGCAUAAUGAAGCAUUUCUGCUACAAGCAUACUACGAGAGUUUUGGAUAUGCUAGAAAUAUAUCACCUCGGCGGAGGCGUAGAAGGCCAGGAAGGCUGCUGUUCAAAAACGUCUCAUCCUCAUCCUCCACCCCGAGUUCUGCCAGCGUCAUUUCAGGAUGAGGAAACCUGUUUUGAUAUACAAAAACUAGCUCAUGGUAUCGAGCAGUGGGUACCAUGGCAUAGUAGUAAUUCAUCAAGCUCUGAAUCUUGUCAGUCCUCCGCAUGGUGCGGGUGAACUGACGCCGUUUAAAGUCGACGAUCACGGCGGUGACGAACACGCGAGGCGAGAUCUCAGGGAGGAACCGGAUCUCGUCGCCGUCCUUCAGAUUGUAAUCUGCCGGCAUCUUGUUGUAGUAGAGCAGCCUGUCGUUGCCGCGGUGGACGAAUAAGCCAUCCCCAUCCUCGACGGUGGGCACCAUGUCGUAGUAGAAGCGCAUCAGGUCCUGAAGCUUGUUGGUGCUUCGCAUGGUGCGGCUCAGCCUGCGCCCUUCCUGGUCCGUCACAACGGGGGUGACGAACUGCUCCAUCGCUGGCUCGGCGUCCUUCCCCUUCAUCUUCUUCCCUGCCGGAGCCGACAUCGUCAGCCGAUACGGACGUCGGUUUCCGGCACCUAAUGCCUAGCUGUGGUUGCGGUGCUUGUGUUGUCUUUGUUGGGUUGCGUGGGAGCGGCGGCGCCCGGAGAGUAUCUAUAUCUACCUAUUAAAUUUGCAGCUGGUGUCCACUGCCCAGCUGUGGUUGCGGUGCUUGUGUUGUUGUCUUUGCUGGAUUGCGUGGGACAGGCGGCGCCCGGAGAGUAUCUAUAUCUGUCUACCUAUUAAAUUCACAGCUGGUGUCUUUGCUGGAUUGCUGGAUUGCUUGUGUUGUUGUCUUUGCUGGAUUGCGUGGGAGGAGCGGCGCCCGGACUGUAUCACCACUGCACAAUGGGCUUGGCCUAAGAUCACAUCGAGCCAGCCAACACCCCAACACGCGCGAAAUUAGUGGGCCUAACUCGAAGUCAGCAAUGAGCUAAGCAACCCCUAGCUCAGCAACAACACUUUUGACAACCAGGGGUUUAAGUGUUUAUCGCUCGAGGAGAUAGAUCAUGGAUUCAGGAUCCUAGUCAGUUGUUCUCUAGACCACAUGAGACUCGAGUACACGACAAUGGAUCACGUCAUGUGAAAUCUCAGAGGAUAGAGAUGCCAGACGCCCUAACCGUCGUGAAUUCCGAAAUUCUAGGCCAAUCGCCGCUAGCCGCAAUCUUGAUUGAUUGCCACCAGACGGCAAAUGUGAGAUUAGCAAUUAACUAGGUAUGUGAAAUUGCUUUAAGAGGAUAAUUGUCGGUCUAACUAACGUUUUCUUAAAUAUAUAUAGAUAAAUUUGUGAAAACUCUAGAAAUGCAGACACUUAGCUAGUGUGUAUAUAUAUACUAGACCAUAAUAGCGCAUGUUGCCAUGCCCAUCGAUUUGCCGAUAAAAUGGUAGGAAUUUCAAUAAGUAUAAGGAGACAUGAUAACUUGCUUAGUAUAGUUGGACAUUUCAUAAAAUAUGAAAAUUUUGAGUUACAAAGCAUUCACUCCCUCCGAUCCAUAAUAAGUGUAUGAGAUUUACUACAAAAUUGUACUAACUUUGUACUAAUUCCCAGACACUUAUUAUGGAUCGGAGUGAUUAUAUCUUUUCUUUGUGAUGUGAAUAUUGCUAUAUAUAAAUGUUUCCUUCUACAUUUGAACAUUCCAAUGUUAACUUUCUCUGAUAUAUCGACCAAAAUUCCAAUGAUAACUUUCUUAGAGUAAUACCUAUCAGCUUCCGCUAACAUAUGCUGCAAGUUAUAGCCUAGUAUCAUUAGAGCUUGGCAAUUUGUGGCCAACCACUUUGCUAGCCAGCAUCAUCAUUGCCGGCAUACAUGGAAUGGUCUGGACGUGAUCUUUAAAUUUUGAUCUGAAAUGAUAAAAAAAAUUCAUAAACUUCGUAUUCUCAACAUAUCAUGUUUCCUAAUAAGUAACAUAAGAAUCAGUCUAAUGCUGAGUGUACAAAAUAAAUAUCUUGCAACUAAACUGAUGCCUUAACUCACAUAAAGAAACUUGAAAGGUAUCUCAAGUCUAUUUCAUAUAUGUAAGCAAGGAGCAUCAUAGUAGAUCUAGCCGACUGGGCAAUCUAAAAUAAUAAAACAGGGAAGUACAAAAACCGGCCAAAAAUAGAAAACUAAAAACAUGAUGAACACUUCAUACAUAGCAAUCUCAUUUCUUUAAGUGUGGCUACUAACAGGUUACAAAUAGAUAAAGAAGGCUGAACGAGUGUGUCUCAUUAUAGCUUGCAAUGAUAUUGUCGCUCUGAAAUUUUUAUGCUUUCAUAUGCAAUACUACAGAAAUAGAGCUUAUUGGGGAAAUUGCUUGCAUGCUUUCCUAAAAUAAACAGCCAAAACAUCAAUAGACUAUAAUCAGAAAACAAAGCAGAAAAAAUCCUAUAAAAGCAAACUGAGAUGAAGCAAUAGAAACAAGAAUUGCAUACUGCUUGUAAACUACCCUCAGAUUUUAGUUUAGAUAUGUUAUUCAUUUCUCUUAGCAAAGAGAGUGUUUGAAUCAGACCAUCAAUUCGCAUGGAGUAUAAAGACAACUACUUCUUAUUCAAACUUUAACAGUUAUGCACCACUACCAUCUAAUAUUUUCAGGUAGCCCACCUUGAUUAUGUAUACCACACACAACACAUGCAAAUAUUGUUGUACCCUAGCUAAAAACAUUGAUUGUGACCAGUUGUAGAAUACAAGUAUAAAGUGUCGGUGUACUUCUAUCUAGCUAAUGCACGAACAUAAGUGCAGAGCAAAUAAAUACAUCACCGAGUUUAUCCAAAUUAUUUACAAAAUAUUUAGCUCAAUUUUCUGUCACAAUACACAUAACUCAAAACGAGACCACACAUUGGUGCUAAAUAAUUAGGUUCCUUGUUCUUCAUGUCUUUCCACUUAUACUAAGUGUGAAGAACUCCUUUACGAGCAUUUUAUAUGCAAGUUAUGCAUUGCAGCCUAAAGAAAUUUAGGGUUAAUAUGGAUUAUUAUGUAACCAUGAGCACUGGACCUAGUCUAAUUGAUUAUAUUUUUCAAAAUUAUAAAUCACAUUGUUAAUUAUAAAUUCACCUGUGAGUGCUAUCUAAAUCAGUUUCUCAAGCCUAAAGAAAUAUAUAUUUCAAUAGUCAUGUGUGAAGAAGAUCCUUACCAUCGUAUUCAAUUCAGAUAUACUCCCAGUUAUCCAAGUUGCUCAAAAGGGCUCUCGAGGAAACAUAUCCUGGAAACAAUGGACACAUAAUAAUUUCUUCUUUGCAAUAUCUGCACAAACAAUAGAUAAGCCAUUUGAUCAGAUAGGAAAUGAAUUGAGAGUGUGCACUAAAAACUAGAACAUCAUGUGUUAACUGUAUCUGAUUUCACACCUGAAGGCCAUUUCUCAGCGUAGAACCCGUUUUCCUAAGGCAUGAACUUCACCAGUUCAAUUGGUUUUGAAGAAAUAGAUCAGUUACUGGAACAAGCUAAGCAAAUCAAAAUCUUUGCAUGCGCACCUAGCAAGUAUCAAAAAGGUGCUAAGAUAAAGAUUUGAACACCCAAUCCUUGCAAAUGGACGGUGUUAAGAUAAAUACAUGGACAUCUAAAACUCGCAAAUGGAAUGUCAUCAUACUUCUUGCGUUUCGAUUUUCUGAUCCAGCCCUUUCAACUUAGUGACAUGCAUGCCUCCUUUCUUCCUUUGUGCCUUCUUAUCUGCAUCCACAAUGCCCUUCUUCUCCUUUUUGCGCUGCCAGCAAGUAGACAACACAAAUUUGAAUCUAAAUUUUGAUUCAGGAACAACCAUUUCUAAUUUUUUUGGGAAGACAACCAGUUUGAUGUCAAUAGCCAGCAAAUCCUGACUACGCAAAUGAACUAUCGAAAUAGAACCAUAAGCAUCAAGAAAUUGAAAGAAGAAAGAUAAGGCGAGAAUAAAUUAAUCUAAUACCUUGCAGUGUGGCAAUGAAGUCCCUUGAUGUCCUACAGUCCUGGUCUCCUGGGCGUAGGAUCCUCCAGACCAGCCUUCUACAGGACGUAAUCCACAUUUAUCUGAAAAAGCCCAAACACAACAAGAAGAAUCGAGUAAAGGCAGAGGGAGUUCACCUUGGAUGGAGUUUCCUCGCCAUCUUCUCCCCGGCAAACUCAUAUGCGGCUCCCCUCAGUGACCUUGUUCUUGACCUCUGUAGCGGGCAGAUGGCGAUGCAGUGUGUUUUCAGGGAGUUGGAGAGAGCAACGGGAUCAGAGGAGAUUGGUGUGAUGGGGAGAAUGUGCAAGAGAAGCAGGAGACCUACCGCUAAGAGGCGGUGGUGGCGGCGCACAUAAGCUCUCCCAAGGUUGAUCGAGAUCACGAGAGAGGAGAGAUGUUAGGACUGAGCGAGCAUGGUGGGGGUGCAGGGGAUCGAUGCGAUCAUGCGAGGGACGGCGAGGGCGGCGGCGACACACCUAGGGUUCGUCCUGUCGCGGGAGGAGGCAGAUCGGGGAAACGAUGCCGCCUGACGAUAUACCCAGAUCUGGUUAUCAAGGAGGCGGCGGAUGGGUCGAGGAGGUUGAAGGGCACUGGUGCCGUAGUGCGACGAGACCAAUGGGAGAGGCCUCGAGGGCCGAUGAGAGGAGGAGGCAUACGGCCGUCGGAGCAGGCAGGGCUGCGUCGGGAGGAAGCGGCGGUGGCGAGCUGGCGACAUACCAAUUUCCUUACUGCGACUGCUGAACAUUAUGAAUUCAAGUUUUUUUUUUACGAAAACCAUCAGCUGUUAAAUAUGAAUUGAAGUUCAAUUCAUAGAUAAUAGAACACGUUCGAAACUUCGAAUUUCAUUGACUUUCACAGUUUUCCCUAAACCGUUCUUCCUCUCGAGUACUGUGGCGUACUCGUUUUAUUCUUCAUAUUUUGGGUAUCUCAACAGAUUUCAGUUAUGACAUGUUCUAUACAUCCAUUGUUUUUUCUUCAUAUUUUGGGUGAGUCAACGGAUUAAAGUUCUUGGAAGAGAAGUUUCAUUGAAAUCGAUGAAAAAAGACGAGUAAAUUUUAUAUGAUGACACAAAUCAUAGUGGACAAAGUCAUUCAAGAUGGAUAUUUUUAAACAAAGUAGAGGAGAUAUUUUAGUACUAUAGCAUACUCUCUUAUUUCAGAAGCCUCAUAACACAGUCAACUUGCAAACUGCAACCGGCCGGUGACAUCAAGGGUCAAUUAGAAAUCUAUGAACAACCUAUGACCGGGAGAAGAAAUCUAUGAAGAGCCUAUGACAUCGUAUAUUCAUAACCAUUCUGACGUUGAUCACGUCCUCAUCCUUCAACAUCAAGUUCUCUGGUGUCUAAUCUCCUCUAAACCAUCUCCCCCGCGGUGGGCACCGCACACUCACACGGCGCCUUAAGAAAAUCAUAGUCGUGGAUUACAAAAUGUAGUAUUGUAGAAGAAAUCACAAAUAAUUCCAAAGGAUAAUAAAUUUAUGCCCAUGCAACUGACUCCAAACAAUGAUUUGUUGCCUCGCAAUGAACAUUGAAAUACACCCACUAGCAUUUCUGUCAUUUCCUAACAAUGAACUUGGUUCGGAACACCGCGAGAGAACUUGUACACAUAACUUAACUCUAACUUAAACUCAAAGGAUGCAAAGCCAAUUGAUUCAACGGAUGCAUGUUAUCCUUGGACAAUCUUGAACAUAAACCUCUCUUCUGUAUCCUUGGCUGGAAAACAAAAGUGGAAGACAUUAAUUAGGCUAAAAAGGAAUAAGUAUUCUUUUUUUGCGAGGAAAAAGGAAUAAGUAUUCGUUGAUACAACCCAAUUCAGCUGCAAGCUUAUAGUGAAAUAUAACAGGGAGGACAACAGAUAUGUCACAAGUAUGUUUAGCUAAUUAGCUGGCUCAUCAGGAACGUGCACAUCAAAUUAAAUAACCAAUAUUGCACAUUCUUGAGGAAACAUUGAUGCAAAUAAACCAUAAAGGAACAAAGCCAAGCAAUGCAUGCUAGCAUAAUGCAACCUUAUCAUAGUUCUAAUCAAAACAUGAGUAAGCUAACCGCAUUGAAUCUGAAUAAUUAUUAGCGCUUGUUUGCUUGCUCACUGAGACUACUGUAAGUUCAGAAACCCUUGUAACUAACCCAUGUUUCUCCACACAAUGCACACACCAGGGGGCAUAUAUAUUCUGAUUGCUUUAGGACAGAAAAAAAGAUAGCAUCUAACUAUAUUUUAGAACUACACUUUUUUUUUGACGAAACAAAUACAAUGAUCUAUUUAUUGCUGAAGAAGAUCGCCGCCCAUUAGGUUACACUCGACCGUACAGAAAAAGAAAAAAAGAAAACUAGCACACGCGGGAAUGUACAAGGAAUUUGGACCAAAACAAAGAUGAUAAAGCUCAGGGGACAUUGUCCAUGAACUGCAGACAUUACUGUGAAAUCGUAUUUGUAUAGAAACAUACCUGAUCUGCCCACCGAGAUUUGAGAUGUUCAUCACUACUGCUUCUCCUGUCCUCAGCACAAUUUCUUACAAGCAGAUCUGUGAGAAGCAACAGAAGUGAGAGAUGAAACUGAUUCAACGCUCGACCUGCACCAGCCUAUUCCAAACCCGCCGGUCCACAACAUGAAAUCUAUUCUUAGAAACAUCCAUAAUGAAGUUAAAUUUUUUUUGCUGUUCUUUGCAAGUUAUGAAUCAAAAAAACGUUAAUUUUUUUUGCUGUUCUUUUCUGUAUUCUCUAUUGAUGAUACUAUCUACUCCCUUCAUUUCAUAAAGGUUGGCACGACUUUGAACUAGGUCUUGUUCAAAAUCAUGCCAAUCUUUAUGAAAUGGAGGGAGUACGAUGGAUUUCAAUAUCUGGCCUUAACCAUGAUAUCAACACGACGGACACGAGGUCUUGCCAGAGGAUAUAUAUACAGUUGCACAAUAAAAUCAACAGUAAAAUAUAAAGACCAUGCCCUUUUCUUCAACCAGGAAUCAUACUACCCUACGAGGGUUUUGGAUAUGAUGUGGUGUUUUCUUACGCAUUUGCUAGAGCUAGAAAUAGAUCACCUCGAUGCGGCGGAAGCCCACAAUACAUAGGCUGGUGGUGAAAAACGUUGAUCUGAUCCCCAUCCUCCAGCUCCAGGUCUGCCAGCGUCGCACCAUUAUUAAGGAACCUGGCGUCGAACAAGAAAACCGCCUCAGCGUAUGGAAGGGUAGGCACCAUGGCGCAGUAGUACUCCUUCAAGCUCUGCACCGUGUCGGUCCUCCGCAUGGUGCGGGUGAACUCGCGCCCCUUUGAGUCGCGCAGCACGGGAGUGACGAACAUGCACGGCUCGAUCUCCCGGAGGAACUGGAUCUCGUCGCCGUCCUUCAGGUUGUAAUCCGCCGGCGUCGCUUCGCAGAGGAGCCGGCUGCCGUGGUGGAGGAAGACGCCAUCCCCGUCCCCGGCGGUGGGCACCAUGGCGUAGUAGAAGCGUAUGAGGUCCUGAAGCUUGUCGGUGCUUCGCAUGGUGUGGCUCAACCUGCGCCCUUCCUCGUCCGUCACAACGGGGGUGACGAAUUGCUUCUUCGCUGGCUCGACCUUCACCUUCCUCUUCUUCACGGCCGGAGCAGACAUUGUCGGCCGGGUUGUGGUUGCAGUUGCUGAUCUGGGCGUUGUUGGUUUCGAGGGAAGGGCAGGGGGCACCCGGGGAGUGUCCAUAUACACACGGCCGCGGCGCGAAUCCAGCCCACUUUCACACGACUCCACGCAUUCUCGUUCUCUUUGAUUGUCUCCGGUUAUCUCGCUGGUACGAGAAUAAUAAUUCGAAGAGACUGGCCGGAUGCCCAAGUAUCGGAACCAUGCGCGUGCGCGAGUCCAAUGCUAUUCUCAAGGUGCCAAUUGCAAUUAAUCCCCGAUCGAGUCAUGGGAAGUUAAUGCCAAGUUUUAAUGUUUGUUUUCUGAAGAUUGUGUUCAACGUGUUUUGUGGGCUUGGUAGUAACAUAGAUGCCAACUAGACAUUUUCGUGAUAUGGCAUGGCAAUAAAUGAAAAAAAAAGAGAAAGAUGGUAACUAGAUAUGUUACCAUAAUAUCACACAAAUCAAGACAAUUAAUGACACAAUGCAUGACACCACACAUAAUUUACUAUCCACCAUCGAGAUAGUAACUCAGAGUAGUAACACUACUCUUAGUUACUCCCCACUAUGACCAGCCUUAAAGAAAAAGGGAUUCCAAAGAAAAUUGAGCACCUUGUCAAGCAUCAACUAUGCAGUCACUGAACCCCUAGGCUACCUUUCUGCCCUUCACAUUGUGUUUGGGACAGCGACACUGUCACCUUGAUAGGAACCAUCGUACUGGCUCUCGUCGUAAUAGAUCGGUGCCGUCUGGCUGACAGCCGUCUUGAACAAUCGGCAACUAGGUUAAUCGCCCUUGGAAACACCAUAAGAAUGUCUGCACACAAAUACGUGGAUCACCCGGCGAGUUGCCAUGUUAAAAAUGGACAAACAUUAGGCUAUGUUUGGACACAAAGUAUUUUUUAAACCAUGGUAUUUCAAAACCACAGUAUUAUUUGCCUGUGCAAAGAAUACUACGGUUUGUAGAAACCACAAUUUUUCUCAGUUUUACCAAAACUACCAGGACGUUUGGUCGUGCUGUAUUUAUGCCGUAGUUUUUAGCUCACCUAUAUGCAUGCAGGUAGACGUCGGCUGCAACUACCGAGCUAGCUUGAAGGUAGUCGUUAGCUUUAGAACAGUGUGCACUUGAUCAAUCCUAUAGAAAGGGAAGCCAUUGUUGUUGCUGUGUUGAUCGUGAAAGCAUCAGGAGGAGGAGCAACAUUAUACAGUACCAAUUCAAAUUUGCUCGCCAUCAUAUAGUCUGAAUAUCAUGAAUAAAAUUUGCAUAGCAUCUGUUUUCAGAAGUAACCAAUCACCUCACAGUAAUUAAAAACCCUGGUAAUUCUAGAAACUGUAGUAUCGUGAAAAUACUGAAAAAACAAACUGAGCUGCCAAACGAGACAAAGGAUUGUUUGGCAUCGCACAAGGCAAGCACAGGGUUGAUCCAACGGAAGUCUUGAUUGCCCGGCCGGACAACGACGAAUGAAGCGUGCACACAAAAAGAAUCCCCAUUUGUUAAACAAGAGGAAAUAGGGAUCAUGUUUAUACAUAUAGGCUAGAUUAUGUCGAUCAUUGAUUGUGGUGAGUUAAGCACUAUUGAAAAACAACAUAAAAAUCUGUUAAUUGUUCGGUUAGCUGCACAAAUGCCCUGGGUCGCCCAGCUAGUUGCCGGGUGAAAUAAAAAAAAAAGCAAAUUAGAUGCCACGGUGAAACUUCAGAAAACAUAAUACUGCACGGAUACAUUAGGAGUUAACAACAAAAAUCCUCUGUCAAUAAUCAAAUACUCUCUACGUGAUUUAAAUUUGUUCAAAUACGGAUGUAUUUAUGUCUAAAAAACGUCAGAUACAUGUAAUAAAGAGUCACUUUAAUAUGAAACGGAGUGAGUAAAGGAUAGCCACGAUUACACUAAGCAGAAAUAAAUUGCUCGUUAGUACUCUCACGCUGACCGUCAGCGAUCGAUCGAGCUAGGCCGUCCUCCGCGCGCCUCCGAGCAACUCGACGAAGAAGUCGACCUCGUCGCCGUCCUCCAUGUUGAAGUCAGCCGGGGUCUGCCAGCCCUUCAUCCGUUUGCCGUCGACGAAGAACCGGCCCGUGUUGCGAUCAACGCCGGGCAUGCUGCGGUAGUAGAAGUCGAACAGGCUCUGCAGCUGGUCGGUCAUCCGCAUGGUGUAGUGGACCCUGAACCUGUUGAGGUCCUGCACCUUGAUCGUGAUGAGCCCGUCGCCGUCCUUCGCCUCCCCCUUGACGCUCCGCGCCGGAGUGAUCCACAUGGUCGGCGGAUCUGCACGGUCGGUGGGGUUCGUGUGUUGUUGUGUUUUUCUAGGUUUCGUGGGAGCGGCGGCGCCCAGAUCGGAGAGUUGUGUAUAUAUAUGGUCGCAUCCUCGUUAAUUCCAACGCUGACUGUGGGACAGGACUCCAGGCAUUCUCGUUCUCUGUGGUUAUGUCCGGUAAUCUCGGUGGCACAAGUAGUAAUUCAAAGAGACCGCUGCUGCCUAUUCUCAUUUCUCAAGGUGCAUGCGAAUCAAUCCCCGGGGUCAUGGGAAGUUAACUUCAAGUUUUAACUGUCUGUUGUUUUCUGAAGCUGGUCUGUUCAACGUGUUUGGUCAGGAAAACGAAGCAAAGCGAUUCCCCAAGACAAUAGGGGCCCACAUGUAGGCUAACUCACCGAAUCCCGUGGCACAACAUUGAUCCCGAGCGAAACAAAUAGGUUUCCCAGGAUCAGAGGGCUAGUUGAUCGGAAUUAGAUGGGUUAGGGGCCGAAAACCUAGGAUUAGGAAGUGGGGUUUUGAUUCAGACAAGUUCUACAAAGUCAGGGUUUAAAAUAGACUUUUGUCUCUAAAGAAAAUGAAGCACCGUCUACAGCAUAAACCGGGCAGCCCCAUACCCCAAACUAAUAGCCAUCCAUCGCCUCUUGGCCCCCUUUGUGCCCUUUGCAUUGUGCCUGGGGCAGCUACACACCUUAUUUAGGGAGGAACCAUCACGCCAGCGCUAGUCAUCAUAAUAUUUUUGAUGCUGAUGCUGGUUGCCGAUGGUGGAAGCGAUGGGUGCUAGGGGUCGACCCACAGAGGGCGGCCGGUGCUGGAGAUCGUUUGACGGACGGUGGUGAUUGUUGUUUGCUCACUCGGUCCCGAUUUAAGUGAUGCAGGAGAAAAAGAAAUUGAACUAAAAACCGUUUUACAGAAACACACUUUACAUUUCAGACUUUUAAAAAUUCAAGGCUCUUUACUCCAUCGCUAAAGGUCACACGGGAGGCUGUGAAGAGCGCAUAAAAGAUUUCAUAAGAGCUCACUGACCGGACAUGCCUAGAUCAACAACGUCAUUGCUAGCACGUGGAGCACAAUAGCACAUAAAUGCGGAACAUCCACCAAUCAUCAGCACACGCCAACGAACCCACACCAAACCCAGGGAUCGAGACAACUCCAAGGAGAUCACGACACCAUUUAUGUUGCCUCUGCCAAAUCGAAGGGGUUUCACCCAAGAGUUUUCACCCUAGAGAAAAUCGGUAGGGAUGUAGGGCCCCCCUCAAUGGAACCUCCAAGGAGGGGACCGCCGUCGUGCCCACCAAGCUGACCAAACGUUUCUCCCGGACAAAUCACACCCCCCUCCCCCCCUCCCCCCCCCCCCCCUCACAAACAACAGCACCUCUGCAUCAUCAAAACCAAGGACCCAAGGUUGCCAAGAUCUAGAUCUGGCGACGGGUUAACGAAGCAAAAACACUAUAGAUCUAGCACGCGGGGGUAAGGGAAGGGAGGCUACGGAGAAGCGCACAAUCAGCACCACCUGACCUCUCAGCCUGCAUCUGCACUCUCCACACAUCUGAGAGUCGUCGCCGGCUCUCCACCCAAGGUUGCCUUCAUAUUUAGCCGUUCACACAAGUGGCAAUAUCCUCGCCGCAACUGUUAUCGGCGGCCGCAUGAGCUUCUUGCUGUUACUCUGUUGGCGACAAGGAGGAGCAGGGAGAAAAGACGGCAACAAUGGCUAGGAUUUCACCCUCAAUUUUCCUGUGUGGGGCGACAUAAGGACCCGAAAACACACAAAAAAAAUUGGUGGGCAAGAACUAAGACAUCAAUGGUGGCUUUCAUGUGAGAUAAACUUCAAACGGAAACUUCAAGGGUCACUGGACAAAAAUAUAUGAGAAAGUAGAUGCCAAGGUGAAAAAUAUGGAACCAUAAUACUACGCAGAAAUACUAGGAACACAAAGCUGUCCUCUAUGAGUAAUCAAAUAAACAAUAGCCAUGAUGACAGUAUGCAGAAAUAAUAUGCUCUCGGGGAUCGAGCUAGACCGACCUCUGUGCGCCUCCCAGACACUGGGUGAAGAAGUCCACCUCGUCGCCGUCCUCCAUGUUGAAACCAGACGGCGUCUGCCAACCUUGCAUCCUUUUGCCGUCGAGGACGAACCGACCAGUGUUCAGAUCAAGAUCAGCCAUGCUACGGUAGUAGAAGUCAAACAGAUUCUGCAACUUGUCAGUUUUCCGCAUGGUGUAGUAGAUCCUGGACCCGUUAAGGUCCUGCACCUUGAUCCUGAUGCGCCCGCCAUCCUCCCUCUCCCUCUUGACGCCUCGCGCCGCCGUUGUGGUCGAGAGAGACGACAUACUACCGGAAGUAAUAUUGAGCGUGUUGGCCGAUUUGCUUUGAGCAGGAGGAGUGCCCGACGCCCUGGGUGAGCUAAUAAAGGGGCGGUGAUUUAAUUUCGGCGACAGCUAAGGAUCAUAUUUCUAAGUUUGAGAGAGACCGUCUUACAUGCUGCACAUGAGUUGGGCUCGUUGUAAAAUAGGCGGUCCAUUAAUGGGACCCACAUGUCAGUGACCAUGUGUCAGUGUGCAAUAUGUGAGAGGAUCCUCCUCUGAUUUUCUAGUUUUGUUUUUCCCUGGUACAACUCAUCGUGGUUGGAUGCAUCAUCGUAAAUUACAGCUGGCCAAUUCCUUUUGUAAAUUUUCAAUUAAAUGCACCGCGUUGUCGAUUUGUAGCCAAGUAAUAUCUAAUUUUAGGAACUUAACUAAUGUUUUCCUUAUAUUUGUAGCGAGGAAAAGAUAUGUGCGCUGACUAGCAAGGUGACGUAUCCAAUGCACACUAUACAUGUGGACCAUCGGAUGUAAGACGUGCGGUGCAGAUCAAAAGUUAAAAUCAAGAAACACAAGUAAACACGUUUUUCACAUAAUCCCAUGUACUUAUCCCGCGAUUAGUAACACUUGAUUCCAUGCCAUACGAGGCCCGUCGAUAUAGCGUGAUGUGGGCAAGACCCACGCAAGGACGACGAAGGCAUCAUCAAACACGAAAGGGAAACAAACGUCUAGGUUUGCACCAAGUGGUCCAUCGGCCUCAGAGAUAUUUUUUUCCUUUUCUGUUAUGUCUCAAGUUUGUCAAAAAUGUGAUGUAUCUAAACAUGACGUAGUGUAUAGAUGCAUUCAAAUUUAGUCAAAGUUGAUACAUCCUUUGUUGGACGGAGUAAGUAAUGGAUUUCGGAAAUAGAUUUACCAUUUUUAUAAUAUUUUCAAAUAUAGGUUAAAUUAAGAAUAAGCUCCAAAAAUAUUGAAAAUUUGCAUGGGCUCAGUAGAGACCUGUGUAAAAUUCUUAAAGUCAUUGGUCUGAUUUUACCAGAAAAAAUUAUUUGGGGUCUAAUUAGGGUAUUUGCCUCCUAUAAAAAUUCUUAUUUCUUAGCCUUUUCAUAAUGCAUAAAUGGUGAUAUGAAUGCAUGCUUAACCUUCAUAACCUUAUUCACUCUUUUAGGAUCUUUACAAGGUCUUCUGGACUCCGCCGGUAUAAACAUAGAGCUCUUUUGCGGCGUUAGUCAAUAGAGAUUUCUUUUGUGGUACCCUUAACAUAUAGACCCUCCAUUUUCCUCAUCGAAGGGUCCACGUGAAUCUAUAUUGGGGUCUCCCUGAGCCAACUGUCAUGCUUUCCGAGGCGAGCAGUAUGACUUAUGGGCGAAAUCGGAAUUCCACCUGUCCGUUAACUCGGCCCAGCUGGCCCAAGCAGAGGAGAAACACAGCCUUCGUGUUUGUACAUCGGUUGCCUAGCAUGGAGGUGGGAGCUGCUUGGGUUUGGCGAACGGGCCAGGGUUUCCGUGACCGCCUUGACGAAUUAAGAAUGGGCCGGAUAAAUGGGCCCAUUGGUACCGUGCAGCGAUACCUUUGCGGAGGAAAAAUAUGUUUCGUGGAGAAAAAAAAAACAACGGAUCCCACUCCAGCAUUGCUCCACUUCACCAGCAGGGUCAACUCCCCAACUUGGCAGCCGCCCGUAAUGGCGUCGCUGCCGGAAUUCGACCCGGCGGACGCGGCCGCCGGCCGUGGCCUCAUCGAGCGCCUCACCACCGACGCCGCGGCGCUCCAGCGGGACCUCCUCACGCAGAUCAUCACGCGGAACGCCCACACCGGGUACCUCCGUCGCUUCCUGGGCGGUCUGCCACCCGGCGCGUCCGCCGACGACCUCCGGGAGGCCUUCAAGAAGAGCGUCCCCGUAUCAGGGUACGAGGACGUCAAGCCGUACGUGGACCGCGUCGCCGCCGGGGAGCCGUCGGACAUCGUCUGCUCCGAGCGUAUCACCCACCUCCUCAGAAGGUAAACCCCGUCCCUGAGGUGUGUCCGGCCUUAUGUAUAGAAAUCGAUCGACAAAUUGUUGUGCACUUGUUUCUCACGGUGGAAUUUUGCCGACGAGCGCUCGCGGACGCAGCUCGGGCACAUCUGGGGGACAGCAGAAGCUCUUGCCGUCUACAGAGGAGGAGAUCGACCGGAAGGCCUUCUUCCAGGCUGUCCAGGCGCUAGUGAUAAACAUGUAAGCAUAGGGUGGCUGGGUCUUGUUAAUUAUCCCUUUGGAUAAAUGUUUCUUUACCAACUGGAGUACGUCUGUGUAAUUAUCAUGUGCACGAGGUUUAAGAGUGCACAAUUUAUCUGCUGCUGCUGUUGUAGGAGUAUAAUCUAAGCAUCGGGUGUACAUUGUUUUAGGCAUCUGCACGCUGAUAAGGAUAAAUGCGGCAAGGGGAUGUACCUCAUGUUUGCCUUUCCUGGAGAUCGGACCUUGUCAGGCUUGCCUGUCCAGUGAGUCUUACUGCAUACUACCACAGCAGCCAGUUCCAGGACCGUGACUUUAGCGAGUUCGACAGGUGCACAAGUCCCAUAGAGGCGAUUCUCUGCCCAGAUAGCAAGCAGAGCAUGUACUGCCAGUUGCUGUGCGGCCUGGUUCAACGCAGAGAUGUAGACCGUGUUGGUGGCACCUUUGCUAAUAGUUUUGUUAGAGGUAUCAAUUUUUUGGAAUGUAACUGGAAGGAGAUGUGCGAUAAUAUCCGCAGUGGGCAUCUCAGUGACUGGAUCACACACGAACCUUUGCGUGUUGCCAUCACUGAACGUUACCUGCAAGUACCUGACCCAGCACUAGCUGAUGAGAUUGUAUUGGAGUGCGCCAGGAAGCCUUGGGAUGGGAUAGUGAGGAGGCUCUGGCCAGGAGCACGAUAUAUCCGGACUGUUGUUACCGGCUCGAUGUCACAGUACAUUCCAAUUCUUGAGAGUUAUGGUGGUGGGACACCAUUUGUCUCGCCCUUGUAUGCAUGUACAGAGUGCGCCCCAGGUGUCAAUCUAAAGCCUCUUGAUCCACCUUCCUGUGUGUCAUAUGCAUUGCUUCCAAACAUUGCCUACUUUGAGUUUGCGGAGAUCACACAUGCUGAUGAGGAAAAGGUACAGAGAACUAAUGGUUUUGAUGAUAACUUGGUUGAGAUAAAGCUUGUGGAUCUUGUGGAUGUCAAAAUUGGCCGGCGCUAUGAGCUGAUUGUCACCACAUUUGCAGGUCAGCCGUUGGGCUACUCCUUAUCAUCUCCUAUCUGCAUAUAUUUUUUUCACAUUUCUUGUAGCUGUGUUGGUCAUCAUGAUAUAUCUCUGAUCGGUUUAUUUUCCAAACGCAUGAUUAGUGUUAAGAACCCAAUCGAACUAGCACUUUAUUGUGUCAUGCUUAUCCAUUAAGUACACACUAAAUGAUAUUGGCAUCCUACUAAUAUAAUAAUUUACUCAUGCUUGUGUAAGAUGAUUUAUUUUAUUUGCAUAGCUUGGUGGAUUUGCUAUGUUAUAAAGUUUACAAUCAAGGAUUUCAUUAAGUUCUGAAAAAUAAUAGGAAGAACUUGUGGUCCAACUUGCCUCAGAAUAUGGGGUGAAUAUGUUUUGAGUUCACAUCUUGUGCAUACCAGGUCUUUACAGAUACCGAGUUGGUGAUAUUUUUACGGUGAGUGGCUUCUACAAUGCAACACCACUGUUCCACUUCUCAGGACGGCAUGAUGUUUUGUUAAGCAUAGACUAUGAGAAGAUAAGUGAGGAGGACCUGCUCAAGGCCAUUUCACAAGCUGACGCGCUCCAUCUUAGGCCUCUUGGUUACAUGCUUGGUGGCAGCACAGCAUAUGCGGACAUAUCUGUGUUGCCUGGCCACUAUAUCCUGUUCUGGGAGCUGGUCAGUAGUGCAAGUCGCAACCAUAUGGCUAGUGAUAUCGAUCGAACUGCCAUGGAGAAUUGUUGUUCGACUGUGGAAGAAUGCUUUGAUGAAAUGUACCACAAAAGCAGACACCGCGGGUCAAUCAGGCCACUGGAGAUAAGGGUGCUGAAACAUGGUGCAUUUGAUGCUCUGAUGGACUUCUUUAUCUCCAGAGGCACAUCAGCCAGUCAGUACAAAACUCCAACUGCUAUUCGAUCGGUAGAAGCGCUGAUGGUGUUGGAGGAGAGGGUAGCAGGGAGGUUCUUUAGCCAGCAAAAUCCAAGCUGUCCUUUGUAUGAAUCCAGAGGAAUUGAUGCUACUGGGCUCGUCCGGACUUGAGAAUGUACUCAUCUGACGGUUCAUAUGGUAUCCCUUGUACGACAAACAUUGUACUACUUAAAGCAGCGCUGUAAGUUUAAAUCCAUGUUGAGAACACAAGAAAUAAGAAAAAGAAAUGUAAGUCUCAAUGUGAGAACUGUAGAUUUGUGAAAAAGAACAUGAACUGUAGAUAAUACAGAUUGGCUGUAAAUUUGGCAAAUUGUCACCGUCAACACUGGAUUGGUAAUUUUUCUUUUGGUCCUCGUGUGGUGUCGAGUUUGGACUCAAAAUAGUGUAGCUUGGUGAAUAGAUGUGGGCCGUGUGGCUAUGAUCUCUGACUCUUCUCAGAUUUUAUCAUCAUGGUAACAUAACUCGGUGUAUCGGGCGCACCAGAGCCACAAUAUUUUGAGACAACCAGGAGAAGGAAAUGCAGAAGAACAUCUUCUUUUCUUUCAGAACUGCAACAGGAACUGGGCAGCAAGAUUAGGGGCCAUGAUAUGACAACCAGCAGUCAGCAGACCAGCAAGUCACUCGUAAAAGCACCACUCGCCUAGUACGCCGACGUCGACGAUCGUGACUACAUCCUACGCGUCCAUCGGCCCCGGAACCCGUCCGGCUGCGCCGCCGAGCAGCUCGGAGAAGAAGUCGACCUCGUCGCCGUCCUCCAUCUCGAGCUCCUCCGGCGUCUGCGCCCCGCCCAGCCUCCCGCCGUCGUAGAGGAACCGGCCCGUGCCGUAGGCCACCGCGGGCGCCACGCGGGCGUAGUAGAAGUCCAUGAGGCCCUGCAGCUUCUCCGUGCGCCGCAUCGUGUGGUACACCGACCGCCCGUCCGUGUCCUGCACCUUGAGCGUCACGUGCACGCCAGGCUUGAUCACCGGCUUCCGGUCCUUCUCCUCUUUCUCCUCCUUGCAACGCACCGCCGCCGACAUCGCCGGUUCGCCGGUGCCUGAUGACCGAUUUCCUCCGGUUGUGAGUGGGUUUUUGGGCUUGGUUUUGUUUUCUGUCUGGUGUUGCGGGUCCUUAUAAAGGCCGUGCGCGUGCUGCAUGGAUGGUUUUAAUUUACCGGGGAUUUGUAACGCCAAAAGCGACCGACGUUUCGGCUGCUCGUCACGUGCUCUGCGCGGGGAAUGAAGCGAUCAAGGUAUUCAUUUGCCACCAAGCGGACAUAAAUUGCACCGGAAUGUGCAUCUCCAAAGCGGCGCCACUGUUAAGUUGCCUGUUGGACUGGGCUACAGGCUCAGGCAGAGUUCUGUAGACUCUUUCUUUUUUCGAAGUACUAAAAGUGUUUGCUUUGAAAAAUGACCCUUCGAUAUCAUCGACUCUAGUUUUACCUUUUUCCAACUUGACAUUUCUCCAAAACUUUGGUGGUGAGUAGAAAGUAUAUGAAAAACAAACAACAACAAAGUCUGAAAAUACUACGAAUGUUGGUUUUUAAGCCAUUCACCAGAGUGGGAUGCUGCUCACGCGUCUAGUCCUGCUUCCAUCUCAGGAAAGAUGGCGCCUGCAGUGUGUUUGGUUGUUUCAUUUUAAAAACUCGAUCACCACGCAUAAAAGACGACAUGGUUCAACUAAAUCACAAAAUAGAUAGGAAGGUGAACAGACGAUGGCAUCUAAAUCCAAGAACAACUACUCUGAACCGCUCACAUGAUCGAGCAAUUUGCCUCCCAACAAUACUAAUUAGCUAGUAGUACGGAGUAACGCUUAAAUGCCCCAUACAGAUAACAAUUCUGACCUACGGAGAUCAAAUUAAUCCCGUCGGCUAGGCGCCUCCUACGCGGAGAUCAGUCCAGCAUCCGACUUCCGGCCUCCAAUCAUGUGUUCGAAGAAAUCGAUCAUGUCGUCGUCCUCCAGCUCGAGCUCGGCCACGGUCUUCUCAGGGCGUAACCGGGAGCCGUUGAGCGUGAACAAGCCGCUGCCGUAUGGGAUGUCGGGCAUCUUGUGGUACCACACGUCCAUAAUGACCUGGAGCUUGUCGGUCAUCUUCAUGGCGUGGCGGACCACGCGCUCCUCGCUCACCACCUUGAGCAUCACCAUCAGGGGCUUCACCGCCGCCUUCGAGUCCUCCUCCUCCGCCUCUUGCCUGGCCGCCGGCGGAGGCAUGGCUAGCUUGAGCUUCCAGCAGUGUGCCUGCUGCCUCGUUGUGGAUGUUUUGCCGUGUGAGCGGUGGAGUGUUGUUGCGAAUGGCUUUGGGAAUGGAUGCGGAGAUCGAGUGCAGGGGCCUUAUAUAUAGGGUCCGAGAAAGCGUCAUGGUUUGAAUGUUUGUUUGACCAUUGCGCGGGUUCCGAAGCAAUUUAUACGUAUCCAGUAGCGAAUUCGAGCCAAAUUCUAGCGCGCGUCUCCACCGGCUCUCCUUGUGAAUCAGCGCGUGUCUGGAUAGAGUGGAACGGAGUAAUUAAGCUGAGUAGUAUUGCUGUUGCGAAUGCCAUGCGUAACUCGGGAAUGCAUUUGGUUUAUAAAGUUAUAAACAGACACGUUUUGCAACAUGAAACUUGGAUUUUCACUUUCUUACAAAUAUACUAUUCCCUACAUCCGACAAAAGAUGUUUCAAGUUUGUCAAAAUUUGGAUGAUGCAUUCAAAUUUAGUCGAAGUUGAGACAUCCUUUGUUGGACGGAGAGAGUAGUAUUGAUGAAAUUAAAAUUUAUAAAAAGUUGAACUCAUUGUUGUAAAAUCAUACUAAAUAUUACGAAAAUCUUUUGAACUACUCCCUCCGUCCACAAAUUAUGAAGUAUUAUUGGAUUUGAAAAUGUAUUGGGAAUAUGAUAACCACCAUCCCUCUUUUUUAAUUUUUUUUACCUCCAGUGAGCUAAGUGGAUGCAUAAAUAUUUUUUGGUUUGACUUCCAUGUGAUGAAAAAGAAAUAUUUUUUAUUAGAACGGACUAAGUCUCGGUCUAUUCUCAGUCGAUGUACCCGGCCGCUCGGCAACCCUCCAUUCCAUCCCUCGAAGCAUCUCCAACAUCAUACUCAUAUUUGGUGCGAAUCCCCACAAACUGUCAAUAUGGUUAUUUGGUCUCAAAAAUUAGUUCCAACAGCAUAACCAUAAAACAAAUUUUUUGGAUAGCUAUCCAUAUUUUGCCUCUCAACGCCCAAAUAUGGGUAUUGUAGACCAGAAUACCCAAAAGACCCAAAACUUGAAGGGAACCCACCUACUGAGAUCCUGAAAUUUCACCCUCUUCCUGCUAGCCGUCCCCACCUCCUGCCCCCGCCGGCGCCGAUUCCGGCGGCUGGAGUUCGCCGCCGCCGUCCCCCAUGCCUCCAGCGGAGCCGCCCGGCCCCUACGCCGCUCCUUGGUGCCUCCGCUGCCGUCGCUGCCCAACUCUUCGCCCUGUGCUCGCCACCGGCCUCGAUGUCUCGUGCUCGCUGCCAUGGCCGUCAUUCUCGUCGAUUCCGGCGGCAGGGACCUGCUCCUGAACUUCCCCGAGCGUUGUCUUCACCCAGCACCAUCGCCCGCGUCUCCGAGCAGCUCCUGUCAUGGCCCAGCACCAUCGUCCGUGCCUCCGAGCAGCUCCCGUCACGGCCCAGCCCCCGCCCGCGCCCUCCCCACCUUCUGCGGCCGCGACCUUCACCCAAUCGCUGCUGUCGCCGCCAAGCACCACCGUUGGCGACGAAUGCCUGCGGAUCCUCCCAAACCCGAGGACGUGUCCCUGUGUUUCAGAUCUUGGUUAAUUUUAUGUACCUGACGAACGAGCGCGCCGCCUCCGCACCUCUCUGCUCGAGGAGCCGUAUCCCCACCAUCCAUACGCAAACCGUACAAACAUAUAUCAGGAUGGAUGCAGGAAAACAAAAAAAAAAGAAGAAGAAAGGGAAACAACAUGAAACCAAAAAAAAAAAAAGAAACAACAAAAAAUGGACGGCAGAAGAUUUGAACUUGCGACUUACGAGUAUGCAACAAUCAAAUGAUACUAUCAACAAGCACUAGAACAAUUAGCUAAUGUUGUCUACAGUUAGUUGUUUCAUUAUUUAACUUGGUUUAGCCUCCCCAUUAACUUCUUAACCCAUGAUCCAACGCCAACGGCGUAGACCAUCGACCGAGAAAUACGAUUUUUCGGAUGACUGAGUACUAGCAAAUCCGAUUUUUCUACUCUAAAGUGUUUUUGUUUGUGGACGGAGAGAGCACUAUCCCGUGUAUUCAGUCUUAGUAAUAUGCUUCUAUUAUUGUACUAUUGCAUAUGACAAAAAUGGUGGAGAGAUUUGGGAAGCGGAAAAUUAACGUGGAGGACGAAUAUCAAACAGUCAAAUGGUUGCGGUGUCAGAAUUUUUAUUUUUAUUAUGUCAUGACCGGUUCUUGCAGCAAACACACUGGACCAAGGUGCUGAUCGAUCGGUUACUUUAGGGAAUACUACUCCGUUUGAAUUUACAGCAAUUAUCUUGCAACCAGCAAACAUGAUGGUUUAAAACCAACUUCAAAUCGAUCACGAGUUCACGACGACGAUCCGAGUUGGAAACACAGCUGAAAAUGGGAACAUCGGAGAUGCAAGAACUACGGAGUAGUAGAUACAGUACUACUACAGAAAUCCGUCCCGCAAUGAUCGAGCAGCAGGAUAGACAUGAAAGACCCUGUCUAGCCGUCUAUGCGCGCGGCGGGCACCGAUCCGGCAGCAACCAUCCCAUGCACAGCCGCCAACCAGCACUUGAAAGAAACCGAUCACGUCCCCGUCCUCUAGCUUGAGAUCCGCCGGCGUGCGCUCGCCGCGCAGGCGCACGCUCUCGAACCAGAAGGAGCCCGUGCCGCGCGCGGGCGACGUCCGGCGCCUCGUCGUAGUACGCGUCCAUGACGGCCUGGAGCUUGCCGUUCAUCCGGAUGGUGCGCCGGACCAGGCGCCGCUCCUGGUCCACAACCUUGGGCGUCACGAACCGGCUGGGAAUGGGGUUCGCCAACGCCACCGUGUCCUGCGCCGUCAGCGCCACGUGUGUGCUGCCGCCGAAGCCAAGCAAGGUGACCACCUUGACCGGCGAGGCUGUGUGUUGGGCUCAUUUUCACUUCAGGUCGAGCCCAGACUUGGCUCGGGCCGCUCGGCAAGCCCAAAGCCCGAAGCAGUUUCAGCCCAGCCCAAUCACUAUCCCUGACUCCCGCAGGCCUGCCGCAGUCCACAGCCUGUGCCAGCCCAUGACUAGUCGAGAGCACAGGCAAGGCCUCCUCCCCGGUCGUUCGUUAGGUUUUCCCAGCUCUGCUGCUCUGGCUGUUGCGGCGCCGGCGCCGCACUGCCCUGCGCCGCGCACGCCCGCCCGCCUCUUGCAGCCGUUCACCCCGCCCGCUGCGAUGCCGAUGGCGACGACCCGGCGUCCUCUUCCUUCCCCCGCGUCAGCAGGCUCGUCAUGGCAGGACCUCCCGUCGGAGCUGCUGGGCCUCGUGCUCUCGCGGCUGCCGUCGCACGCCGACCGCGUCCGCCUCCCCGCCGUGUGCCGCCCGUGGCGGUCCAGCGCGCGUCUGCAGCGGCCGCUACCGCCGCUGCUCCCGUGGCUCGCCCUCACCGACGGCGCCGUCCACCGAUUGCCGGUCGCGGAUGACGACACCGGAUGAUUCUCCACUGGCAGCACGCUCUUCCUCGUGCGCGGCGACGGCAGAUGCUCCCUGAUGAACCCUUUCUCCGCGGCGGCGACGACCCCUCUGCCCGAGCUAACCGACUAUGUCCCUGUAACCGACUGGAUUGCAAGAAAGCCACACUUCCGGUACCGGAAGGUGUUAGUUUCGUCCGGUCGCCAUCGCCUCGUCGCAGUUCUGGUCCAGUUCCACCGCACCGGCACCUCCAAGAAACUCAUCUUCCCUACUCGUGGGCGGCAAGGGCUAAGCACGAUGAUGGAUUGGGCACCGCCUCAAGGCAGCUUCAUCAGAGACACAUUGCGCUCUUCCAAGGCAAGAUCUACAUCCAAACCACCACGGAAGCGCAAUAUCAACAUGAGCUCCAUGUCCUCGACGCUGGUGGCCAGCAGACAACCACGCUGAAUGUCAAAACCGUUCAAUGCAUACGCAGUAUCCCGAAGGAUCAUGGUGACGACUGACGAGGAAGGGGAAGCAUGGUUCAAUCCUUACGCGACUGAUUAUUACUUGCCUCGGUGCUAUCUCGUCGCUUCUGGCGAUCGGCUGCUGAUGGUGGAACGAAAGAUCAAUCUGCCGCCGAUGAUGCCGCGAGACUCUGGGAUUCAGAAGCGGACUCGCAGGUUCCAGGUCUUUGAGGCGGCAGACCUGAGCAGCGGCUGUGGACGAUGGAUGGAGGUUGAUACUUUGAUGGGACGUGCGCUCUUCGUCAGCGAACGCUGCUCCGAGUCGCUCCCUGCCGGUGGCGCAGUUCGUGAAGAUUGCAUAUACUUUAUGAAUGAGGAAAACACGGCCGGGGGGAAUCAUGAGAAUCCGCUUCUCGACUCCGGUUUCUACAACAUGAGAGACCGAACAGUGACACCGUUGUUGCUGGAGACGUCCGCAACGCCCGCAGCAGGUGACGGUCCUUGGCCACCGGCUUGGUUUUUCCCUAAAACCUGAUUUAAGGUGGUUCCGUUACAUGGUAAUACUAUCGAUUGGGGUUUUCUUCAGUAUCUGAUGCUCAUAUAUUCAUUUUAGUACAUUUAAAUGUGACUAUAUGCAUCAGGAGAUGCAAAACCGGAAGGUUCUUUUUACUCACUUUUUUUCACAACUAGUUGGGAAACAGUUACAAAAUUAUUUCGAAACCGUUAAAAAAUCAUUUCUCAAUAUAUAUCUAACAGACAUAGAAUGGAAUACAAAACUUAGGAAAUAUGUGAAUACAAAGAUGCGUUUGCCAACAUAUGUUAUGUGUGACAUUAUUUUGACAUCAUGUGACACCUUGACAUAAACUUGAUGAUGAUGUUUGCCGUAAUAUGAUGGUCCUAUAUCAGGUGACUCCUAAGUCAUAAAACUUAAAAGCAGCAUUGUCCUGUACAAACAAAAGGCAGUAAUCCACUUCUGAUUUAUAAGGCAAAACUUCAUUCUGGGAUUGGUUUGUCCUUUGUCGGAAGUGAUACAUGGGAGUAGUGACCUCAUUCUGCAUUAUGUUCAGUCUUCCACCAUCCAAAUUAUUGUCAGAAUGAACUUAAGCAUAGGUGACUACAUCAUCACCACCUCACUUCGUUUAAAAUAAAAGAGAAUGUUUACAUAUACUUUGUGAACGAGGAAGAGACGCUCCAGAGGAAUAAUGAAAAUCCGUUUCUCGACGCCGUUGCUGCCAGAGACGGCCACAACGCCCGCAGCAGCAGGUGAUGAUCCAUGGCCUGCGACUUGGUUUUUCCCUAAAACGUGAUUUAAGGUGAUUACGAUUACAUUAAGCAGGGAUACUAUCAAUUAGGAUUUUCUUAGUGUAAUACUCUGUAUAUAUAUUAGUUACUUCUUCCGUUUCAUAAUUCUUGUCUUAAAUUUGUUAAAAAAUGGAUGCGUCUAUUCCAAAAAAGUGUCUAGAUACAUAUAAUAUUUCGACAAGAAUUAUGGAAUGGAAGGAGUAGAUACUUAGAUGAACCUGAAGUAAACAGAGAGAAAAACAUGUAUAACCGGGGAGUGUGUUCGCACCUUCUAUCUCUAUUAAAUUAAGGGUUACAACUUACAAUGAUCGGAGGAGUACAACAUUAUAUCUCAAUAUGGACAUCAUUUACUUAUUCACAUUCCAACGAUAUAGAUCUAACAGGCAUAGAAUAAAAACCGUAGGAAACAUGUGAAUACAAAGAUGUGUUUGCCAGCAGAUGUUAGCAUGUGACAUUAUUUAGACAUCGUGCAUGCUGACGUCUCAACACGAACUUGAUGAUGUUCACUGUGACAUGAUGGUCCUCCAUCAGGUGACUCCGAAGUCAUAAAACUUGCAGCAGCAUUGCCCUGUAAUUCACUCGCUGACUUUUAUAAGGCAAAACUACAUCCUGGGAUUGGUUUGUCCUUUGUCGGAAGUGAUAUGUCCAGUCUUUCACCAUCCAAAUUAUUGUCAGAAAGAACAUAAGCAUAGGCGACCGUACUACAUGAUCACCACCUUACUUCGCUUGAAAUAAAAGAAAUGCCUGCAACAUAUGUGAGGUCUGAUAUUCAAAUAGCAUCCCAUUUCGAAAUCGAUAUAUAGAAUGUCAAUCUCGCUCUACCACCAACGAAGGGAGAAAUAGUGGAUUUGUAAGAUGGCUCAGACAACAUGCCAUUCAUAUAGCGCAGUGUCAAAUUAAGAAUUGUUCAGUUUGUGAAUCCAUUGCGACCCCCAAUGGUGCAUUGGUGCCCCCGAAAGGGUCUCCACUCUCCGGUCUUUAGGCCUGUUUGUUUGGGUUUCUGUUUCAGUUUUUGGUGUUUCUAACAAUCUCAAAAACACUUCUCAGCACCUCCGGACGUGCUUCUCAGCUAGAAGCACCAAAAGCACGUCCGGAGGUGCUUCUCAGCUUCAUCUGUAAACGGGAGAAAUGCUUUUGAGAUUGCUAAAAACACCAAAAGCUGAAGCAGAAGCCCAAACAAACAGAGCCUUAAUCUUGCUAGUGACCUGUGAAAUAUGAAAAGAGCGGAACGUCAAGGUCUUCAACAACGUCUACAUAAUACCUCUGUUGCUCCUCCAGUGAAUCAAAGAAGAGGGCCACGUCUGGGCACUGGCCGGUGCGAAGCACCUUGCAAAUCUCAUGUCCUGAAGUUGUAUUCCUUAUAUUUUUGGCCUUGGCCUACUUGUUUCGCUCAUAUGCUUAUGUUUCACAUAUACUUUAUGAACGAGGAAGACACGUUCAGGAGGAUCAUCAGAAUCUGCUUCUCAACUCUGGCUUCUACAACAUGGGAGACCGAACAGUGACGUUGUUGCUUCUAGAGACAGCCGCCACGGCAGCAGCAGGUGACGGCCCUUAGCCUUGACUUGCAUUUUCCCUAAAACCUGAUUUAAGGUGGUUUUAUACGUGGGGUUGGACGCUUUCCCUCUUUUUUGAAGAAAAAAUUAUGUUAAUAUUGUCGAUUAAGAUUCAUCUUACUUCUUUGAUGUGCAUAUAUUCAAUGUGAUACAUUUUAAUUUGGUUGUACACAUGAAGUUUUUGCGGGAAAAAUAAUGUGCAUUUGAAUAUGCAAAGAUCCAAAGGUUUUGCCAAUUCUUUUCAAAAAUAAUAUGUUGCAAUCCUUUUCCAAAAUGCCAACCAAAGCCUAGAAGAUGAAGCCCCAUAAAAAAAAAAUACUAGCAUCGCAAAAAAAUCAAGGAGAUCAAGAGACAACCAAGUAGUUCGAGCUCAGUCCACAACAGUGGGAGAUCUAAGGGAGACACAUGAAUCCUUGUCAUGCUCUGUUUUUAGGUGAACUACGGUGGGCAUGUACAAGAUUAAACCAUUUCAAUUAAAUGAAAUUUUUUGGAAUACAAAGAGUUAGAAUAACGGAUAAAACAACCACACCACCACGGAUAAAUGGAAACACAAACAUAACCCCAUGCCAUAGACUCUUCAAGCCAGCUACUCGGAGAGGAGCGCAUGCAUAAAAUAUUGAAGGCAUCACUAUACUGAGACCACACGAUGAACAACGAUGUUCCCGGACAUAGUCGAGCAGCACUGCCCAGUCAAAAAGCAUGACAAUUACGUCGACCUCACUAUAGUACAAGCACAACCACCACCGGAGUGGCCGGAAGAACAUGCAAAUUGAAUGUGCAUAUCACAACAUGUAAAGCAAACAUAUGUGAAAGGCAAUGCGCAACCAUAACGAGGACCUAGUGGAAUCCAAGGCAAUGACACAUCCCAGCCAUCAUGUUUGGCGACAUCAUGGAAGGGAAAUGGGAGUUUAGAGGAGUUAGUUCAUAAAAUAUUAGAGAAAAAAAAUUGACUUUUAGUUCCAAUCCUGUGUUAGGUAUGUGUUGAAAAAUACACAUAAAAAUAGAUGAGAAAAACAUUCCUAUUUUUGGUUGGAAGGACUUCACACGGAGUUACCUUAGGCAAAAAAAACAUACAUUGUAUGAUCGAUCAAGAUCACCUCUACCAAACAAUUUUCUCUGAAUUCAAAAUUUCCUUCUUAUUAAAACAAAUUUUCUAUUUAGAAAUUGCCUGUUUUUUGUUAGCGAUCAGUCGACGUGCUUGGCCGUUGGAUCUUAAUCCAACAAUAGCACGUGGGACGGGGGAGAGUGCUCAGAUCUUAAUCCGAUGGUGCCGAUACUUCAACUGAGAUUUAAGUCAUUUUCCUUAAAAAUCAGGCGACUGAAAAAUAGCCACAUGCUUAUAAAAAUUGUUGGAGUUGGCUUCACAAAUAUCCACCGACCCAGCAUUUGUUCUCUCUCUACUUCACAUCACGGUACGUACUGCUCUGUUCGAGAAACUCCACUUUAUCCACACAAACCGAUGGAUCAGAUCAUCUUCAGGCUUACUCUUGUAUAGUAGACUGAGUGGAUCGGGAAGUGCCAGAGCACCGGGGUUGCAAAAAAAUACCGUUGGGUUACCGCCCAAAUUUUUCCCAACUAACUUUAACUUAUUUAUUUCUAUAAAAGAUAAUUUUAUUUUGAAUUCCUCCAAAACAUAAUCAUAACACAACAAUCGUUCACUUAUUUUAUGUAAUUUAUCGCCUUUAUCCGUAUAGUAAAUGAUUGAAUUAAAAUUAGUACGGAGUACUAAUAAAUUUCGAUUUCUUUCUGUAAACUCAUUUACAGGGGUCUCGCGUGGGAGAUGAUGACCCAUUUGCCCCUGAAAAAAAAGGAGCACGGCCGCACGGGGACGACCGGACGACUCGCCCGUCCCAGUUCAUCAUCCCGUUCGUUCGCCUCCCGCUCCGGUGGGCUGCCAGCGGCCAGCGCCGAGGAGAAAUCGGCGAGAAGGGCAGGUAAACCCCAGUCUCCCCUCUCAUUUUCCUUCUUCUCUCCUACAUACUCCCCUAGGUUUCUAUUGAAUAAAUGUCUUUGAAACCCUAGGUUUGUGAGAUGCAAUUUGACUGAAAUUGAGAGAGAGUGAAGAUGGUCCUCGGGAAUGACCACCAUGGACAUACCUGUGACCUUUCUUUGCGGCAAGGGCAUGAUAAGGACUCGCUGGUCAGGGAAGGCCAGGACGGGGAAGGCCAUCACGGUUUCGGCUUGUUGGAGAACCAUGAGUUGGUGCUCGCCGAGCCGCAUUCCCUUGUCGACGAUGAUAAUCUUGAUGAGCUCUCGCUGGAGCAAACCCAUGAAUUCGCCCUCCAGCCGGCCCAUGACUUGUCGCAGGGCCUUCUUGCCGUUGCCCCACGGAUGAUGGCCUUUAGCACAGAGUUUCAGCUCGUGGCCGGGCAGGAAUUUCCAAAUGUCAUGUACUGCCGCAGGGCCAUCCGCAACACUGCCAUUGCCUGCCACUUUGAGAUACAAAUGGUCAAGUCUGACAACACAAGCUUCACUGCUAAGUGUACCGCGGAGGGCUGCCCAUGGCAUAUUCAUGCAGCAAAGCUUCCUGGAGUGCCUACUUUCUCCAUCAGAACUAUACUUGACAACCAUAGUUGUGUGGGUAUAAACCAUCUUGGUCAUCAGCAGGCGUCUGUUCAGUUGGUUGCAAGUACUGUCGGAGAGAGGCUGCCUGAGAACCCACACUGCAAGCCCAAGGAAAUUUUGGAAGAAAUCCACAAGUCAAAUGAGAUCACACUACCGUACAAGCAAGAUUGGAUAGGGAAAGAGCGCAGCAUAGCAGCAGUUCGAGGGUCUUUUGAAGAAGGAUAUCGACUCCUGCCUGAGUACUGCAGGCAGGUAGAAAGAACAAACCCGGGAAGCAUCGGUCGUGUCUAUGGGAACCCGGAUGAUAACCGCUUCCGGCGACUCUUCAUAUCGUUCUAUGCAUCAAUAUACGGUUUUGUGAAUGCAUGCUGUCCGCUCAUUGGGCUUGAUAAAGUUACUCUGAAAAACAAGUAUGUUGGCACCUUGUUUAUUGCCACUGCUUUCGAUGGUGAUGGUGCUCUCUUUCCUCUGGCAUUUGGCGUGGUUGAUGAGGAAACUGAUGAGAACUGGAUAUGGUUUUUGUCUGAGCUGCAUGAGUUGCUGGAGAAGAACACAUUGAGCAUGCCAAGGCUCACCAUCUUGUCAGAUAGGAGCAAAGGUAUUAUUGAUGGAGUCGAUAUCAACUUCCCAGCUGCAUUCCAUGGUUACUGUAUGCACCAUCUCAGUGAAACUUUCCGAAAAGAGUUCAACAAUUCAGUGCCUGUCGACCUUCUAUGGGAAGCUGCCAAUGUGCUGACUGCGAUAGAUUUUGAAACUAAGCUUCUGGAGAUAGAGGACAUCUCACAAGAAGCUGUUUGUUGGAUAAAAGGCAUACGUCCUUGCCUUUGGGCCACAGCUUUCUUUGAUGGGACACGGUACGGUCACUUAACAGCAAAUGUCACAGAGUCUCUAAAUUCUUGGAUACUGGACGCAUCUAGCCUUCCCAUAAACCAGAUGAUGGAGUGCCUCCGGUGCCAGCUCAUGACGUGGUUCAAGGAACGUCAUGAAGCGAGCAUGCAGUGGACAGCUACUCUUGUGCCCACAGCUGAGCGCCGCUUGCAGGAGGCCAUUGAGCGGGCACGAGGCUACCAAGUUACCCGUGCUAACGAGACAGAAUUUGAGGUCAUCUCACCUCAUGAGGGGACAAAUGUCGUGGACGUCCGCAACAGGUGCUGCCUAUGCCGUGGGUGGCAGCUCUAUGGCGUACCCUGCGCCCACGGCGUGGCGGCGCUCGUCUCCUGCAGGCAAAACGUCCACCGCUACACAGAGAGGUACUUCACCAUCGGGACUUACCGCAAGACAUACUCACAGACCGUACACCCCAUCCCGGACAAGACCCUCUGGAACAAGAUGUCCAACCAAGGAGAGGCUGAGGAGAGCAAGCUGGAGGUGAUCAUCAACCCGCCCAAAUCGCGGAGGUCCCCCGGUAGGCCGAGGAAGAAGAGGGUCCAUGCAGAGGACCACGGGCAGGUCAAGCUAUUCGUGCACUGCAGCCGCUGCAGCCAGAUGGGCCAUUUCAGAACCACCUGUCCUGCUGCCCUAUGAACUCUGAAGCAAGCAGCUGCUGCAUUUUGCUGUGAAGAGAAGUUUAGAAAUCAGUGUCUACUGUGCAAACUUCCUGCUUCUAGAUUAGUGUUUCUUUUGUUAUACUAGAACAUAUACCGCUGUUGACUUAGCUGUGAUGAUUUAAUAGUGUUAUUUAACUUGUGUUUGCCCUGCUAAACCCCGGGAAAUAUAAGAGUAACUACGUGGCACCCCAGAAUCAAAUAUAGCGUGUUGUUGGUGCGACAGUGAUGUUGGUGUGCAAGCUGUGGUGAAACCUGAAGCGUUUGUCAAGCCGAUCUAGUCGAUUUGCCAAAUGUAUGCCUUUUCGUUGCAAAACAUACAAGAGGAAAUGUCAGAUGACAACCAUUAGUCAAUCAGAUUUAUCUACAUUAAAAUAGGAUUUAUAAACAAGUGUAGAGUUCUUAUGAAUUCUGACCUGCAGCAGCUUAAAACGCAUAGUAUAACAGAAUUCAACUGCCACAAAACUGAGCCUAAGUUGGCACAAAGUCCCGCUCCUUCGUUGCCGUCGAUUUUUUCAUAGACUAGCAAGUGUAAUACUAAACUAUUAAAUUUUUCAUCCAAGAUCCACCAUCUAGAUGGAAUUCUAAAUUAAUAAUACAAAGGCAUCAGCUUUUGACAAAAUUUUCUACAUACAAAUAAUCUGCCCAUCAUUUACAUGCUACAGCAAUGAUUAGUACAAGAUCUUCAAGGCAGAGUUCAUAUGGUAGCUGUCAGCUGAGCUUCAGCUACCUGUGGCUUCUGGGAGGAGUCUAAUCCGGGGAACUGACCAAUGUCAUGACCUUCUACUCGGUUUAAGCUGUCGUCCAAACCGAUCGCAAACUCCUCAGGUCUUUCUCCACAGCUCGCAAAGUAGUCAGCGACCUGUUUUAAGAUAUUCAAACCAAGAUCUUAGCACCAAACCAACUGAACUCAGAUAGCUGGAGCUAGUUUAUUAACUACAAAGCUUGAGAUGUUCUGCAGUUUGUAGAAUGAUGAAAGAAAGAUCAAAGGGUGGCAGAAUUUACAUGAUCUCCAAGAGAAAUUCCACUCAAUACCGCCGCUUCUAUACUGGAACCUGUGAGCCAGUCACCACAUAUGCCUGCUCGACCCUGGGGAUCAAAUAUGCAUGGUACUCCUGGAGUGUUCAUCGGUAAAGCUGCACCCCUGUAUUUGCAGGUAUGAAUUCAUCAUUGUCUAUUAUUGAAAUAUCAAAUAGUAACAGGUAUGAAAUGUUCAAUUUGUGUGUUUCUAUACCACAACUGCACUCUUGUGUAAAAUGGUAGCUGAAGAGAUCCUUUUGAGAGCCCCAAAGCAAGUUCAACUCCCCCAAGCAUUUCUCGUUGCACUUUCUCUGCGGUGGCAUUCGGGAUAUUUUCCUACAGUUCAAUGGUUAAAUGCGUUAAAGAAUUCCAUAAAAACUCUUGGAAACUCCAUCUUGGCAUAUGACCUCCCAAUUAACCAUAAUAGUGCAUGGUGCAACCAAAUGAUACAACAAAAGGUAUUGAAUCUCAUAAAAAUGCCCACCUGUGGAACUUUGUUUCUUCUUCCGUAAGAAGCGGUGCUAAAAAAUGUCCAGCACUCAGGUCUGUCUGUCUCAAAAGGGAAGAGUUUCCGAGUAUUGUUGGCCAUCCAAGAGAGAGAAUCAACACCUCUCACAAAUGCUCCUUCAAAUGUGCCAUAAGAAUUAUUAUGGGGGAUUGGAAAAGGACCUUCAAACGCUGCAAGUAGUGCCCAGACAGAACUCAGCUCUAGUCUCUGAACAUAGAGGGCACGAAAUUGGGUGAGGACUUGGAAGAAAAGGAUAUGUCUCAUGAGUUCAGAAUUCAGUUCGAUAGUAAACCUUCAUUUGCUUAGUCAGUUGGGGUAGACCUGAUGUCGAAAGCAGACGGUUGGCACAUUUCCCUGAUCAAUGGGUUAAAAAGGAUCAACUAGAGCCCAAAUAUAUAAUACUGUCUGACAAAAAGAAAUAUAGAAAUACAAUGUGCUUCUUGCAGGUAGGGAAAAAGUGAGUUCCAAAAAAUCCAAGGAUUAUAAUGCGUGAAACAAUCUUUGUCUGUUCCUGUCUAUGGUUCAUAGCACUUCACUACUUCCACAAAUUAUGCUACUCCCUCCGAUCCAUAUUAAUUGUCUCAAAUUUGCCCAAAUAUGGAUGUAUCUAUGUUUAAAAAGCGUCUAGAUACAUAUAAUAUUUCGACAACUAAUAUGGAUCGGAGGGAGUAUCUCUUUAGUGCUAUUUGGUAAACUUAUCUUACGACCGGUUCAUAGUUGUACACUGAUUCAUAAACUAAUACUCCCUCUGAUCCAUAUUAAUUGUCUCAAAUUUACCCAAAUAUGGAUGUAUCUAUGCCUAAAAAGCGUCUAGAUACAUGUAAUAUUUCGACAAUUAAUAUGGAUCGGAGGGAGUAGACGAAGAGAAAUAUGCCACAGUCAUCCAAGUUAGGUACAACUGUACAAGAAGGAAACUUUUACGGCGAUCUAUCAAUUGAAGUAAAAUCCAAUUUGUUUUCAGAAUUGACAUUUGAAUAAAUACACUUCACGUUUAUUUAGCUAAAUGAGGAUAUAAAUAAUCGUCGAUAUAUGGAAUAAGACUUUAUGUAACUUUAUAACAUGUUAGACUUGGGUUUACAAAAAGAAGUGUUGAGCUAUCACAAAUGGAGCAUAUUGGAAAACACUGAAGACUUACCUCCUAAACUAGUUAACUUAUAACAAACUAACCAAAAGGAAGUACUCCGUAGUAUUAAUGUUUGCACAUAAAAGAACUAAAUACUGGAAAGGAAAACUGCACUCACCAUUAUGUGCUAUUACAAUUGCAUCGUACUGACCCCGGGGCUUCUCAUUCUCAAACAAGCGCCAUAGACCGUUGAAUGGCUCCAGCUUGCUUAUCCAGGAAGGUCGUAUAACUUUAAUCAGGUCGUUCUACAUGGUUUUAUAUGCAACUCAGCAAUGAAAUGAAGAACCGACAAAUUCAGUGACUGACUGAUGGACUGAAACUCCAACAACCAGAUGAUGGUAAUAUUCAGUCACUACACUCUACUGUAGGAUAUGAUCAUGAAAUGGUGUAGUGAAUGAAGUCAUACAGUGAUACAGAUAUACUCCUUAGUUAAGUUGAUACAACGUGGAGAAUGCAUCCGACAGCUGUCGAUAAGAUAUACUCCAUCCGUCCCAUAUUAAGUAACUUUCUAUUACAUGUAUCUAGACGUAUUUUAGUAUAUAUAGAUUUUUGACAAAUUUUAGUCACUUAAUAUGGGACGUAUGGAGUACCUCAGGCAGCAUUGCAUCCGCAAGCGGGCGCAUUCCGUUCACGCCGAUGUACCUUGGCGUCGAGGAAUGGAUAGGUCUAAAAUGGCCACCAGCCUCGAGCUCGCCGAUUGAGCCCCUCCAUUCCCGGACCAGCCCUCUCUCGACCCACUCUUCGACCAGCUUCUGGAACCUCUCGUCGCUGGCAGUGAAGAACUGCGCCGCGUGAUCGAACACCAGCUGCCGCUCGUCGUCGACCGCCCUGGUCGCCAUCCUCCCACCUAAGCCGUGCAUCCCCUGCAUCAUCGCCGAGAAAGGGAGUGAUUCUCGCGCGCGUGGACGGGCGCGGAGCGAGGGAGGUGUUGGGUGGGGUGGGGGCGAGGGGGGACGAACCGUGUCGAAGACGACGGAGCGGACGCCGCGGGCGGCGAGGGCGGAGGCGCAGGCGAGGCCGGAGGCGCCGCCACCGAUGACGGCUACGGUGGGGUCGGGGGACACGGGGGUGGAGAAGACCACCUGCUCCUGCUGGAAGCUCUUCCUGAUGGCCGAUUGCCGCGAGAACCGAGGCUUACCGCGCGGGCGCGGCCUCGGAGGACGCGCUCCCCCGCCAUCUUUGGAGGCGAGCACCGCGGCGGAAAAGAGGGACGCGGUGCGCUUGGCAGUGGGGCGAGCGCAUGGGGCGUGCUGAAGGAGAAGAGACGGCGGCAUUGCGGCCUCACAGGUGCUCGACGAAAUGCGGAAGUGAGAGCGGGUAAGAAGACCGUUAUCUGUUUACGAGGUGGAACUUUUUUCUAUCCGGCUGGCGGCCGACGGAAAAUCGGCCGACUGCCCGCGCCUCUCCGAUCUCACUGACCUUCCUAUUAUUGCAACACGAGAAAUCCAUACAUACCAACCUUUACAAUAAUUUUCAAAACUUUCAAAAAUGUUACUCGUACUCCUUACAACAUUUCUUCUUCUUUUUGUACCGACUCGUACAACAUUUCAAGCAUGCAGUCCGUAUGAAACAUGUGCAUCGUAAAUACCCCACACACAACGUAUACAACAACGGAAAUAUAUUUACAACUAGUCAAAAGCGUUACUACGGAGAAUAAAUACGAAUAGCAUGAAGAAUCUUUCUUCUCUUUUUCCACUUUCAUUUCAUCCCUUGGUUUGAAUGUUGAUUUGCUUCACAAGACAUGCUACUCAGUUUGGUAUGUCGGUGCGCAUUUGGUGGAUGACAACCCGUUAAGCAAACUUAAAACAUGUGUCAAUAACAACAUUCAUAUGCAACAAGCAAUGGAAGUGAAAAUGCAAUGGGUUUUCAUUAAUUUCUCAACAAUUUUAUCAAGUAAUAGACAGUAGAAAAGGUUCUAAAAACAAGUAAAUGGUCAGAUCUCAGAUGAAUUGACUCAAAAGAAAAAUUUACUAAUCAUUACGUGCCGAUUAUUGGGUCACUGCAUGCACUUUAGAUCAAUGCGUUUAGAGAAUCUCUAGCAUGUCUCUAAACUCAUUCUCAAUCUCUAAAAGCUGUUACCGUUCUUAAAACUGCUCAAAAACAUGCUCCAAUUGGUUCCUGGUCCAUUCUCAAUUCCUAAAAACAAUCUAAGAAAAGCUUCGAGUGAAACCAACUACCGCUUUUGUACUUUUCAGGACUGAUCCAACUCGACCCGGCGCCGUCGGGACGCCGCCGCCGACCUCCUCCGGACACCACCCUGUCAUCCGCGUCCUAUCCGUCAUCCCCCAAGCCUCCCGACCCCAUCCCUUGCCCAGUAACAUCCUAUUGUUAACCGCACUAAUUUACAUAAGGUGCUGACCACAAUGCAGAGAUGCAAGUGUUUGAGCUAUGUGCAUGCCAAAGAAAUCAAAUGGCUUAUGUGCACUUGAUAAUUUUGUCAAAUGGAUUCACUGCAGAGGACUCAAGCAGACUAAAUCGUGAAUCGUAACUUAAUAGAUAGUACUCAAGUCACUUAUUUCAGGACAAGGGGAGUAACAAAUAUGAAAAUAAUCGAUAAUAACCUAUGAAACACAUUCCAAAACAUGUACUCUGGCAACAAGAGUCGAAUCAACCUAUGCAACGACCAAAAAUCUGAACAUUGUACACUUUUUACCAUUUAUGAUUUGACACCACUCUCGACGCAUUGGCCUGUCGGAGCUCCCCUAUCAUCAGGUUAGAUCAAAGCUUGGUUUUGAUACACCCUUAAGCCACCAUUUUUGCUUGGCUCAUUGGCAUGGUUAACGAUUGUUUCAAAUUGUACAUGGCCACAAGCUCCGCUUUCUCUCCACGGUGAAUUAAUUCUCCCCUAAGGAGCAUGGAUAACCAAAGGAGAUAGGAAUACAUGAGCUAGAGCUAGGAUGGAUAUCUUAAACAGGGUGGAUGGCGUCCCACUAAUAGAUUGCUAGUUGAUACAUAUGUACAUUUUUUUGUUUCAUCUAUUUUGUUGUUUGCUUGUCGUACCCAUCCUUUUAUGAUCCCUGAACCGUAAGACUUUGGAACUAAACGUUAAAAUAAAAGUUCUUAGGUGCAUCAAUUGAUGCAAAGGCCGAAGAUACCCUGUUUUCAUUUUCAAAGAACGAAUGAGCUGGAAGAGUAAAACCCCAAGAAGGUCAGGAUGUAAACGGCGCCCUUAGCGGCGCUGACGGGCUCGUCAGAUGUUCUUUCCUAGCACAAAUUUUGUUUUGUACGUCAGCUGCUUUGGUCUUUAUUAGGAAUAAACGGGCCUUAAACGGCUGCCCGUUUACAUCCUUACAAGAAGGACAAGGAUGGAGGAAGCGUGACAUCCUCACAUCCAUGAAGUAGUGGUCUAGCUCAGUCUACAAGUGUACUGGGACCAUUGACACUUUCACUCUCGUUUUAAUUUUUUCGAUCAUUUCAAUAUGACAGGGCGACCAUCACAGUUGCUCUCCAAAAAAAAACCGACCAUCAUGGUUCACAGGUUACAAGCGUUACCCAUCGUACUUUAAAAAAUGUCCAAACCUCUACUUGAACUACAAGCCGAAGUACGUGCAUACUCGCAGAAAUGACAUUUUAUCAUGAAUACCAUCACAUCGAUGCAAGAAGUGUUUGCCUUUUUGCGCAUAAGAAGUGUUCUUUGAAGCGUCGUUGUCGUUGAGAAAGCUUGGAUUUGGCAACUCUGUGUGAGCAUGAACAUGCAUUGUGGACAUUGCUGUCAAAAGUCAUACUUAUUUAUGCCUAACUAAACAGGAUGAAAUCCAUGUUUUUUUUAUCAAGUCCGAAGAAUAGAUCUCGCCUAAAUUUUAAACUGAAGAGAACAGAACAGAGGGGUAACUGAGGAACUGAAACUAAAAAAAAGGCUCCUAGAUCCUAAUUGUUGGAAAUCAAAUUGGUAGGUUUGUUUAAUUUAAAAUCAGCAUUUCAGGUUUGGACUGAAUUUCGUAUAUAAAGCAAUUUAUUUAUUUUACAUAAAUUUUAGUUAUAUUUGGAUUUCAUCAAAACAAAUUCCUCGUGGUCGUAUCAUUCUUCGCUAAACCUCCCUCUUGUCAAUCUUUGAUCCGUGACCAAUUUGGCAAGCUGAGCAAGAGAUAGCUGAAAGCUUAUUUUUCUUUUGAGAGUGUUAUUUCUCAGUCGACUAAAAAAAUAGUUAUUUCUCAUCUAUAAUCGUAGCUAUCUAAUCAAGAUCUUUUUAUUAAUCGGACAUAUAUUAAUCUUACACGAACUCGAUAAUUGAAUAAAAAAUUAUUAUCAUCAACUGGGAAAUAAGAAAUAGUCCGAAGAAAUACUCGUUUCUCAGUCCUAAGAAUUCUUAGGAAAAACCGUUUUCUUUUGCAAACGAGUACGCACGACAGCAGCAAACCGCUGGACGAACCACGAGAAGGAAUCUUGACUAUUGACUGCUGUGGCACCUGAAGCCACCGACUAGAUUCCCACGCACUAGUGCCCUACUCUACUGCACCGUGGAACCAAGAGCCCCUUUCCCUCUCUCUUUUGAUCAUUUCAACAAAGUGAAAUAUACAGUGGUAAAUAUCGCACGCACGCAUCGGCCUCCCCGAAAACGUCCAAAUUCCUUCUGCCCAAGGGAGAAAAAAGGGGUCUUGUUUGCUUUCUUUUCACCUCAUCUGCUUGUUCCCCUCCUCCAUGGACCUCAACGCAACACCAUGCUGCGGCUGCUGCACUGUUCUCUAGCUUUCCUUUCUGGAGCGCUUCUGUUUGUCGCCGUUCCUACUUCUAGGCGUGCGCCUUUCAAAAAUCUCCACUUCCCCCAACGAAGCAUUCCCCUCGUUCUGCUAUAAAACUCGUCCAAAAUUUUUCCAAAUCAAACGCAGUCGAUCGAUCGAACACAGCACACCCAAAAUGCCGCGUUUCCACCAUUGCUCGUCCAUGUUCCCCCUGCUGAUCCUCCUCUUCAAUCUUCCUACAUGGUCUGUGCAAGGAUUAGUCACCAAUGGGGGCCACCAAGACCUCUCUUUCCUCCUCUCCUUCAAGGCAUACAACCCAAACAACGCCAAGUCCCUGGCUACCUGGGUCGGCCCCAACCCGUGCUCCGGCUCAUGGGCCGGGCUCAGGUGCUCCAGGGGCAGAGUGGCAGGCGUCUUCCUUGACAACGCCGGACUCGCCGGCAGCGUGGCGCCUCUCCUCAGGCUCACCCAGCUCAGGGUGCUCGCCGUUAGAGGGAACUCCCUGUCCGGCCCUCUCCCUCCCCUCGACAACUCCACGAACCCGACCCUGAGGCACCUGCUGCUCUCCCACAACGACCUCACCGGACCCCUCAACCUCUCGCUGCCUUCUCUGGUCACUCUGAAAGCAGAGCACAACGGAUUCCAUGGCGGCCUGCGAGCGGUGCGCGUGCCGAUGGUCAGAAGGUUCAAUGUGUCCAUGAACAUGCUUGCCGGCGAGAUCCCCGGCUCGCUGUCGGGUUUCCCGAGCUCGUCUUUCGCCGGCAAUCUCGGUCUCUGCGGCACGCCUCUCCCGAGAUGUGUCCAUGCGUUCGAUGCACUGGAAGAUGUCGCUCAAUCUCCUAUUGCGGCAGCAGAUAUAAGUAAUGGAAGACUCAGUAAAUUCAGCUUGGCUGCGCUCUUGGCCACUGGCAUUGGCAACGCGGUGCUCAUCACGGCCUCGUUGGCCAUCUCGGUAGCCAUGUUCAUCUACAUGAGAAGAAAGCUGAGAUCCCAAACAAAGGACGAAGCGGCUUCUUCCAGAGCGGGCCUCUGUUUCGAAGACGAAGACAAGAUCAUCAUGAGGAAUACCAACGACGAAGAGAAGCCGUGCGCGCAGAAGAGCGGCGCGCUGGUGCGCUUCGAGGGCGGCGAGGAGCUGCGGCUGGAGAGCCUCCUGAAGGCCUCGGCGGAGGUGCUGGGGAAGGGCGUGUCCGGGAGCACCUACAAGGCGGUCCUCGAGGACGGCAUCGUGGCGGCCGUGAAGCGGCUCAGCGCGCUGCAGUUCCCCGCGGGAGGGCGCAGCGGCAGGGCCUUCGACCGGCACAUGCGGCUCGUGGGCGCGCUCCGGCACCGGCACGUCGUCAGCCUCAGGGGCUACUGCAGCUCCAACGGCGAGCGGCUCCUCGUCUAUGACCACCUCCCCAACGGCAGCCUACAGUCCCUUCUGCAGCUGCAAGGCAAUGGCGAGAGAAGGCUAGGCUGGGCGGCGAAGAAGAGCGUCCUGUUCGGCGCGGCGCAGGGGCUGAGCUACAUACACACGGCGGGGAUGGCGCACGGGAACGUGAAGCCGUCCAACAUCCUGCUGGACGAGCGUGGCGCCGCGUGCGUGUCCGAGUGCGGGCUCAUGAGCUACGCCGCGGCCGGCAUCGUCCAGCAGCAGCAGCAGCAGCAGCCCAGGUGCCCGCCCGAGCUGAUGUUCAACGGCAGAGAACGCGGCGGGGGAUGGCGCGGGUACGCGGCGCCGGAGCUGCAGGCGGCGCCGGGCGCGAGGGCGACGCAGGAGGCGGACGUGUACAGCUUCGGGAUGGUGCUCCUGGAGGUGGUGACGGCCGGCAAGGGCAGCGGCGAGGAAGAAGAGGGGGAAGGGGAGGAGACGAUGGGGAUGGUCAGGAUCGGCGUGCUGUGCACCGCCGAGGCGCCGGAGGAGAGGCCCCGGAUGGCGCAGGUGCUCGCCAUGAUGAGCGAGUUCAUGUGAAGCACUGCAAGUGUUUGAAGAACUGUCAUGGACCCAUGAACGGUAUUUCUCAUUUUUCUCCUCUUGCUUUGCAGCUGCAGCCUGCAGCAAGAGAUCGAGGCGAUGCUGCCAUGAAUGUAAGACUGGAGAAGUAGAGAACAAGUUUUAAGAGUUGGAUGUUGAUUUGUUGUAAUCUGAGUAGUUUAUGUCGCUAAUCAAAUGCAUUCAACCCGGCGACCGGCGCCGGUGCAGCCGAUCGAACUGUUCAUUUUUUUAUCUUCUCUGAGAAAGGCCAAUCGAAUCAUUCGCUCUGGGCCUCAACGAUGGUAAAGAGGAGACCGGCGGCCCAAAACAAUUCUGCCCAAGACCUGUCCAAUUUCGGCCUCGAUGGCCCAGUAUCAAAUAGCCCCGGCUUUAUGGGCUUGGUUUUUUUAAGGGAAAAGGAGGGACUGACAGCCGAUGGAAAAUACGAUAGGGGGUUACGCUGUAAGCACAGACGAACAGUCGCGGUCCAGUCCGGUAAAAUAACAUCCAUGGUUGCAUACCACGCUUUCAGUUACGCCGAGUUUCUCUAAGAAAAAAAAAAGGUUACGCAAAAGAGUUCGCAGCGGGCAACAUCGUGUCUCGAAGGUGUUUGCCUCGCAAGCAAUCACGCCAGUAAACCCUUGAUCAUUAAUUGAGGCCGACCGCGUCUCCCUCCUGCAAGCCUGGAACCGUGGCACGCUUGUUUGGCCACCUAUUAGAGACAUUAUCUCUUCUCUCGCAGAUGGUCCAAACUUCCUUUCUUGCGAAGGUUCAGAGAGCUGGCAAACAGUGUAGCGUAUGAACUAGGCCAGCCAGACAGUACGAAGUACAGGUCUCAACGACUACUGAGGUCGUGUGUGUGUCAUUCAUUGUGUGUUUAUAUAUCCAACCUCUUCUUCUAAUAAAAGCUUUCUGUUAUUUGUCGACCAAAAGAGGAACCAAAAUAGCAGUCCCCUGCAGAGCUACUACAGCCUACAGAUGCACUGAGUGUACCUUAGUGUGGUGAGACGAAAAGAGAGACUCUCUGUUCUUCUACUUUUUGACCGUAAACACACGUCCGAUGCGAUGAGAUAGAUGAGCUAAAGAAUGCUUCGGUUCUCUUUUUACCGUUGCCAUGAUACAGUUGGUAUGGGUGCCCUACCAUGACAACUCAUAUGUGGACCAGUGCUUAACAGCAGCACAUGGCCGCAACAUGCUUCAAUUAUUUCAACCUUUGGAAUUGGAUACCCUCACCGAAUUGACAACCCGGCAUCUCCAAACAAACCUCAAAGUACAGAGCAUCGCUCAGAAAGAAAAAAAUCCCCCCAGGAAAAGAAAAGCUUAUUCUGCAGUUUUGCCUAGCCACUUGCAAUGCUCGAUUGGCUGAUGGAUUCUUUAGUUUUACAAAGCCAUUUGCAAUGCUCGGUUGGCUGAUGAUCGAAGAUCUUAAGUCAUAGGGACAUAUUCCUCUUUUUUUUUAGGGAAAGAAGACAUAUUCCCGUUUCCUUAGCGUGUUCUUUGUUUACUGACAGAAGGCAUGAGGUUCCCCUUUUGAACCAUCAAAAGCUUUGUUUCAACUGACGGCUAGAAAAUGCGUUGUGUAUAUAUGUCAAAUGUUCAGAUGAUAAGUUGGCGGCUGGACAGAGUUCUGAAUUUCACAGCACAAAAUUUCCUCAAAACGCAUUACUGCAAGACAGUAGCAUCAAGGCUGUUGUUGAUUUAGAAGCUGAAGAAUUAAGAAUGAAUCAAUCAAAUAAAUGGUCUCAUUCAUAGCAAGAACAAGGGUAAGUACAUGAUCGAUCACCACCACCACAAAGAAUGGCACGCCGGCGCACGCACUACGUCACACACACACACACUCACGCACACCUCCCCCCCCGGAGCAGGACACCGCCGCGACCCAUACAUACACGCACGCCCACACGCCCAAACACACACCUCCACACGACACCAAGGAGCAAACCAAGAGACAACCAGGAACCGCGGAACCGCACGCGACGGAGCCACAGAUCUAGCAGAAGAGGUAUCCGAAGGCGGCGGCGGCGAAGGAGGCCGCGGCGAGGGGCAGCGCGGCGGCGGCGGCGUCGGAGGCGGGCGCCGGUGCCGGGGCCUCGGCGGCGGCCGCGGAGGCGACGAGCGCGGCGGCCAUGGCGGCGGCGGCGACGAACUUCAUCCUGAGACCGGCCAUGGGUGGUGGUAGUAGUGCUCUCGUCGGCGUCGGAGGAGAGAUCUCUCUAGGAGCGUGGGAGCUGGCUAGAGAGAUGCUCUGCGCGCGGAGACGGAGGAGCUAGCUAGGCGGCUUUGUGGAUGGAGGUGGGAGGGAGAGGAGCGCAGUGGGGGAGGGUUAUAUAGCGAGCGAGGCCAGGUAGGUCGCGUAGGAAGGAGAAGAGUACGGCUGGCCGUUUGUUCGUUCGCGUUUGGUUAGGCUGGCGCUGCGGUUGGGGCGGCCGGGAUCCACUCUGGCUGACCAAGCUUCAAGUUUGAGCGCGUCUCCGGGCGGGCACGCGCGUCGGGUUGUUCGGCACUACUGCUAGCUCGUUCGUCCAUCAAUAAACGUGCGCGCUGCGCUUGCUUCCUUGGUC